Molecule: long non-coding RNA, 70096 nt
Filed under: Cucumis sativus (cucumber)
Lineage: Eukaryota; Viridiplantae; Streptophyta; Magnoliopsida; Cucurbitales; Cucurbitaceae
Description: long non-coding RNA (CSAT_LNC001376)
Source: RNAcentral
UUUUUUUUUUUUUUUUGUAUUUGCAAAUAGUUGUAAAUGAAAUAUUUUCAGCAUUCAAAUGAGUGACUACAAAACUUCAUAGUUAAUAUCAAGAUUUAUGUCGUUUUUUUAAUUAUUAUUUAGUAUUUCGUGGAUAUGAUAUUACUUUAUUAUUUAUUGCGACGAACAUUUAUUUUAUAUUAUAUUUGAAAGUCAUGGAUUCAUUUUUCUCAUAUCUACAUUCCAUUUUAUUAAUGGGAUUUGAUUAAUGUAAAGUUAUUUUAAAAUUUCAUUCAUGUUUUAAAUCCCUUGCUUUACUUGCACCUUUUGCAAAAGAAUAACUUAUUUAAUAUUUUAUAUGUGGCACGUUUUUUUAGUUUCUCUUUUGUAUAUUAGUGUUGAAAUUAGUAGAUAUAGUUAGAAUUAAUAGAUUGCUUUUUAAUUAGUCUAAUACUAUCACAUAAGUAACCAAAUAGAUCUUGUUAACAUCAUUAUUUAAAAUAAAGAGUUGAACUUUAUUAACCAAAUUUAAAAAAUAAAAUCAACCUUUUUACAAUUAAAAAUAUAUAACAAGGCAACAAAAUUCAAAGGUGAAACAUGUUUGUAUAAACUUAAUUAACUAUUCCCAAUAGGUUUUAAUUAAUGAUUUAGUUUUUCUUUAAAAAAUAAUAUGCUUCAAAUAUGUUUCUUUUUUAAAUAAGAAGGACGAUACUUGUAAAUUAUUGAAAAAAUAAUUGUUAUUGAUAUUUUGAAAUAAUUUUAUUUUUUAAAAAAAUUUGCACAUAUAUUAUAUAAAAUGAAUAGUGUUACCCCUUUCUAACCAUGUAAGCUAUAUUCCUACAAAUAGGCCAAAAGCAUUCUGACUUUUGCUGAAAAGAGUAGGAGCAAUAGUAAUGGAAAAAGUGGGGCUGAACAAGAGAAAUCAGUGGCUGAAAUUCCUUCAAAUCAGUACCAACAACUCCUGGACGUUGAUCCUCAAGAUGAGGGUACGUAUAUAACAAUUUUUUGAAUUCUCUUUUUACUUAGUCUCUGUAGGCAUUUUUUGGAAGAAAAGGCUUCUGACUUGGCAAAAAUAGAAUAAAAUAAUUGUUAUGGCAUAGCAACACGAGUUAAAAAUGAACAAAGUUUUUACCAUGGUUAAUUUCUCUGGAGAUGAUGGUGGGUCAGCUGUGCCCAGCUUCUUUGUUUGUUUUCAAAAUUUGUACAGAUAUUCAUUUUAGUCAUACAAAAUACAGAUACAUUUUUAUGGUUGGAAAUAUAUGGGUUUGAAAAGUCUAGUAAUGUUGCUAAUCUAUAUAUCUCUCACCUAAUAGCCAACCUUUUGUAGAGUUCAUUCCUAGGGGUGUUCACGAUUUGAGUUAAAAUCAAAUCAAAUCGAUUUGAGUUAAAAUCAAAUCAAAUCCUUUUUAGGUUUGAAUUGAAUUGUAACUAUUCUGGUCUAAUUAUUAUUUUUUCUUUUAUAUAUUAUACAGUGGAUUUAUAAAUGGUUUAGUUUUGUUUAUUUUUCAAUAAUGGUUCAUGAGAGUUUAUGAUUGAUCUUUCUAACCUUUUAAAACACCUCCUUCAUCUACCAAGUCCUCUUAAGCACCGUUUGAUCUCCAUAUGAUCUUGGUACUUGUGGAUUAUGAGUGUGGUCCACGUUUGAGUGAAACUUGGUCCUACUACCACAUUUCACUGUAAAAUAUUCCAACAACAUUAAGAAGAUAUGACUGCAUAUAUGGUCUUCUCAACCAAAACAUCACAACUUGGUUGUUCUCAAUGCAACCUCUAGGGCUUUUGGAACCAACUUAGUUGUGCAUUUCAGGUCCCCUUCCAUCUCUUCUUCCUUUGAGCGUAACUUGGCUUUAAUACCAAGUGUCACGGGUUCAAGUUCAAACAUAAAUUUUUAAUCUUUAUAUCGUACGACCUAUGAUGUCACACUCUCUUAAUCAACACUCACUCUCUUUAUACACUUUACAACUCAACAACUUUCGUAGAAUAGUUCAAAACUUGUAGACUUACUGAAUAGUCCUAAGCUUCACUCUUCAUGCUGAGACUAGUAAGUGGUCAAGUUAAACUUCCACUUACGAAGGAAGUGUUUAGACUUGCACCCCACUCCAAGACUUCAACAUACUUCACACCUAGUUUCUUGGAUGUGAGCAUUGCUUUGAACAAUAUUUCUUCCUCUUCAGGUUCCAGUUUAGGAUUCUUCUUUAUCUUAUCAUCAGAGUUACUCAAUAGUCUGAUCUUAGAUGUGUUGCUUGUAGUCUCUGUCUGAGUUUUGCUAUCCAAGACAGAUACUCAUUAUUGUAUAGUCUUUUGUACGCUCACAAGAUUUGGGUUUACGAACUUUUUGAAAAUCUCCUCAUCUCGUUUGAGAGUGACUUGUUCUUCCUCAGCAUUAAGGGCCUUUAUACAUGUUGACACUUGUUUUGCACUUUCGUAGUGAUGUUGUCCAAUGUGCUGACAAAUGCAAUUACUUCGAUCAAGGCUUGGUCUAAAGUCUCGAUAUGAUUCCUUUGGGCUUCGUGAUGAGCAACUUCAACUUGAGUUGAGCAAAUUAUCCAACCGUAACUUCUCAAAACACUCAUAAACCUAUUUGUUGAUUGGUUGAACUCUUAAAAACAUUUAAAAACUUAGAGAAUCCUUCGAUCGACCGACCUAAGGUCAAACCUAUCAUCUUAGUGGUAGGUUAUUAUUAUUAUUAUUAUUAUUUCCAUAUGGUACCUAGUCUCCAAGCCCACCAUUUUGAUUGAUUUAAAUUUUUAAAAGCAGUAAAUUAUGUUAACCUAACAAUAAUACUUCAUCAAUUCAUUCUCUUCAUCUCUCAUUUUCUUUCACCUUAAUUUAGAUGGAAGAAAAAAAUAUUUAAUCGACGGACCUUCCGUUCACACCAUUUUAUGAUAAGUUUUAAGUGUCGUUUUUUUAAAUGACACAAAACGACACCAAACAGUCAAUAUGUACACUCCUACUACAAGGUACCUAGAGCGUAUCACGUAGAUACACCUUGAAUAACUGGACUAACAAUAAUGUUGUAAUACAAAUUCUAGAUACUUUUGUAAUCCCAUCCAACCCCUAAACUGUAAUCACCUAUUUAAAUGUUUUUUUUUUUUGUUUUGUUGUAAAAGUAAUGUUGGGUUAAUUUGUUUGUAGAUCUUCCAUUGGCAAGGAAAAGGUCACUUCAUAGAUUUUUGGAGAAGCGCAAGGAGAGGUAACAGCCCUCAGUAUUGAUUUUAUACGUAGUUUACUAUAUUACUAGAUUAAUUUCUCUGUUUUUGUGUGUGAUAUUAUAAAACAAAGAUAUCCACCUCAUCUCAAUUCUCAACCAAAUUAAAAAUGCCUAAUGGAAGUGUAUAAUGUAAUUAACUUAAUUUGGUUUUACUUUUGACCAUAAUCUUGUACUCUAUAAAACAAUUUCAAAUUUUCAUUUUGACUUUCUUUUUUUGUGUGCCUAAUUUUACCUUUCAUAUCCCACAUGGUUGAUAUGAGAAGACGUGACCGCAUUUAUUUUUUAAAUUUGAUAUUCAAAAGUUUAAGUCUAGUCCUAUAAUCUUGGAAAUUGGAAUAUGCUUAAAAUUUUAUUCUUAUAAAGUCAGUCAACUUUCUUGAAGGAUUAGGUGAGAAGUUAGUACGUAGGAGUGGUAAAGAUUCUUUACUAAAGUGUGCAACGGGACAUCUAACUCUACCAAGCCGCUUGAUUGGACUUGUUUGGAUCAAGAAUGCUCCAAAUAAAUAAAGUGUUUGUUGAUACCUUUCUUAAAACCCUUAUAAAUAGUCACGUAUUUUUAUUGUAUCCAAUAUUAUCAAAAUAAACUCUAACUAAUUUUGGGAAAGAAUCAUUGUUGUUAAUAGGAGGAAAAAUAGAAGAAAGAGAAAAGGGAGAAGAAAACUCUUACUAAAUGGAAAGAGAAAAAAAAACACAAAAAAUGAAAGUGAAAACAAGUAGAGGAGGGGGAGAAGAUGAGUGAGAAUGGGAAACAAAAUUAGAAAACAGAAAUAGAGAAAAUUGAUGGUCGAGCAAAAGCAAAAAAAUGAACAGUGAAAACUCCAGCCAUGGUAAGAGAAAGAAAGAAGAUUUCCAUUCCUAUACGUGACAUAUGGGUAAAUCAAUAAUCCACAUUUUCAUUCCAUCCCCAUGGUUUGAAAUAACAAAUUACUUGGUGAUAAGAUUAUAUUUUGUUUCUUUUCUUAUAAUAAUGAAAUGAUAUUCGAUGCUUGAAAGAUUGAAGAAAGUAUUCGAUAUAAAAAUUCACAAAAGGAAUGUUACUAACAACUUUUUACUCUUCUAUAUAUUUUAAAUUUAAAAAAUCAUAAAAAACAGAACAUUUAACAAAUAUUUAUACUAACAAAUUUAUUUUGUUUUUUAAUGAUUUUGUUUUAUAAAGGUAAAUAAUUUGUUAUUUUUUUCUAUUUUUGAAAUAACCCCUUUCAUUUGAGGUUUAUUGAUAUUUUUAUGGACAAGGAUAAGUAUAUCAAUUAUGUUUAAAAUAUUAGUAAAUAAAACACAAUAUGAAAACAUUUGUAAAUAUAUAAAAAUUUAAAACCAAUUCUUAAAGUAUCAGUGAUCACUAUAAUUACAAAAUAAAAAUAUUCAAUACUUUCAUAUUUGAAAAGUUUAUGUAUUGUUUAAUUUUAAGAACAUAAUAUUUUUAUUUUUAAAAAAUGUGUUUAGUAUUAAAAUAGUGUAAAUGCUAAUUAUCAACCAUGUUGUUAUUAUUAUUAGACUACGAGGUUUAUACUUUAACCUAAAAAUGUCAAAACAAAAAAUACGUAAUAAAAUACAACACAACAUCUAUAUUUUGAAGACUAACAUUAGCAUAACUCAAUUAUUAUACAAAUAAUUUAGCGUUAAGAAUAUUUCAAAAAUUUUAAUUUUAAAAAGAAAAUAUUCCUCUUUAAACUCAAUAUAUUUAUGCUCUAGAACAUCAUUUUUCUAUUUAGUUUUGAGAAUUACAUAUUCAAUUUGGUACCAAUGUGUUGGUCAUAUGAAAUACUAACAAUAAUAAUAAAAAAAUCAAAUUCUCCUUUAUUACACAAUUUUAGGAUUUUAGUUUUGAGGAAACAAAAAUAAGACAAGGAAAAAUAAUUAUAAAAGUAGAUAGACAAUUUUGUUAAUCAUCCAUGUCUGCCAAUAUUCUUAUUUCCCUCUCUCUUUUCUUAUUUUUAUUGCUUUUUAUUUUUUCCUUUCCCACCUUAACUUAUUAAAAAAAAAAAAAUAGAAUGUGAAAAAAUGUUCAUUCUUUAUAGAAUACAUUUAGUUUUUGAAACACAUUUUUUGUAUAAAGAAAAUUAAGUUGCUUUAAACAUUUUAAGCAUGUAAUGAUUAAAUGAGCUUAGCUAAUUAGCAAUUAGAAUGCAUUAAUGAUUAAUUAAUUUUUGAUUGGGGUUAUGAUGAUGUGUAGGUUAAUUCCCGUGGGGCCUUAUGUUUGUCAUUUCUAACGAGGCAAUGGAAGAAUAUUUGUCAAAUUGGGAAUUAUUACCCUUAAUUCUCAUUUUAAUUCUACUCUAAUAAAGUACAAAUUAUUAUUUUAAUUUGUAGUACUAUUUAUUUCCAUUCAUUUUAUUGUUUUAUUAGGGUUACAAAGGUUGUGCUUACCAACUUUGCUUUAAACUCUUUCCAAUCACAUUUCUUCACCUAAUUCUUCUUAUCCUUUUAUCCUUCACUUCUAGAUUAUAAAACUUCACUUUCAGCCUGUUGUUAUAAUAAAUUAUAAUUAAGUUACAAAUAUAUUCUUGGAAUAAUUUUAUUUUAGAUCAUAUCAAUCAUCCCAUGGGCCAUAUGAUACAAAGCCCAAUAACGAGCAUCUCAUGGGCCAUCAUACUGAUACAAAGCCCAAAUAAUAAAAGAACGAAAAUUGAGGUAUUGAGCAUAGAGACCAACACCUAAACUAUAAUACAAAAUAUUAAUAAAAUUUUUAAAAAGAACAAUUAGACAUAAAAUAUUAUUAAUACAAAAGAAAGAAAAAUUAAUAAAUAUUGUAGAAUUUAGCGAGAUUUACAUUUUCUUUUUCUUUUUUAGAUUUUAUCCAAAAAAAAAAUUAAAACUCCCUUUUAACUAUUUUAGUAAGUAUUAUAUUUUUAUUUUCUUAAGGUGAUUUUGUGAGCAAAUCAUAAAACCUACGUGUACAUAUUAGCUCAACGAUACGUGGAAAUGAUGGUUUUAAUUUGAUUCAAUUUUUAAACCUAUACUACGUAUAAUUGAUGCCAUAAAGAUGAUUAGUAUACAAUACGAUUUGUUUUAUGCCUAAAAAGAACUCCGUUUUUAGAUUUUUGGUUGCAAUUUCUUAUGGCAUUUGGCAAUCCACAUUCACAAGUUUUUUUCGUUUAAGAUGUGUAAUAUGAUCAAUAAUAACAUUCAAGUAGUUUACGCUCUCAAAUAUUCCAUUAAUAAACGAAAAUAUUAACCGCAAAUAACUCAUUGGAGUUAAUGAUCUACAUGAUUACAACAAAUUUCAAAAUCUAAAGAAAGCUCUAAAAAAAUGAUGAGAAAUACUUCAUGAAUCACAAUGAAUUAGUAAAUAGACAUGAAGAAUCGAUAUACAAAAAUCACUUUCAUCAAUUUGGCAAUAAUCACCAUAUGUAGUAGGACAAAUCUUAUCUUACCAUUCACAAAAUGACACUUUGUCAUUAACUAUUAAAAAAGAGAUUAUAUAUUAUUGAUGGAUUAAUUUAUAAAAGAGAGAAUACAUGACCAUUAAGGAAAAAAAAAAGGGUGAAAGAAAAAAGCCAAAAAUGGAUUACUUUUUCAAGAAUUAAUAGUCCCUUCCAGAUUCCAUUACUAAAGAACUUUGGUCUUUACUUAAAAGAAAUUAGAAGAAAAAGAAACUUUAAUUCAAUUUGUGGUUUAAUUGGAAGUAAAAGAAAAAAAAAAACUGUAAAAUGAAUGGGCAAUAAUUGCAUUAAGCAAUUAUAUAUGCAAAAAAAAGAAAGAUCAAAUAUGAAAAACUAUAUAGUAAGACUUCUUCAACACUAAACCCUAAUUCCUCCCUUAGAUUUGGGACUAUAUAUUAAGAGUUCAUAUAUAUAUUAAAGGGGGCCCUAGAAUAUAAAAAGUGGUGCAUCCCAACAUAUAUGAACCCCCUCUUUGUUUCUUUAUGUAAUUAUAAACAUUAUUUCAUUUGAAUGAUUGAGAAGUUUUUUCAAAAUUGCUAUGAUGAUUAAUUGCAUUAUUUCCCUAUCUCAUUAUUCAUUUCUCAAAUUCUAAAUCCGAUUCAACUUUUUAUAUUAUUGACCUAGUAACCGACGAUGAAAAUAAUCUUAUUUGUUUACUAAUUAAUUUCUUUUCUAGAGAUUGAAAUACUAUAUUUGCUCAGUACAAUUACGAGUGAGUGUCGUAUCGAACAUUAUCUAAAUUACCCUAGACAAAGGUUAUGUUAUUACCCUUGUGUUAAAACUUAGAACUUAGAUGGACUAAGUUAAAGUACUAAUGACUUACCAUUCUAGGACAAAUUAAAAGGAAAGAAUCGAGAAAUUAAACAAAAUAUAGUUUUAAUCUCAACCAUUUUAAUCAUAAACUUUUAAGCGCGCCCAUUGAAAUUUUAAUUAUAUGUACAUCAAUGGAGCUGAAUUUGUUGGAAGAGCUUUUUAGACCAAACUAAAAUUUCAAGUUGAUCGAGCUAGCUACUAGAAAAAUAGAAGAAGAUCUUCAACCCAACAAUUAAGAAAUUUUUUUGUCGAGUGUAUUAAAUUUUGUAUUUGAGCAGUUUAUGAAAAAGAAAAAGGUGUAGAAGAGAGGAGGCAGCAGUACACAGCACAAUGGGGGCGUAGGAAUUGGAGUAAUUAGGAAAUUACAUAUAAUUGAGUCCACACAACACACACACCUGGUGGAUCCCUUUCCCUUCCUAAGAUUCAACACCCCCACACAUUAUAAUUAUUCAAUCCAAAUGCUUCUUUAAAGAUAAAAUACUCAUAAAUUCAUGAACAACCAUAUAUACAAAACCAAGUUUUUAGAAAAUAAUAAUAAAUUAAUAUUAUAUAACAUCCAUAUAAUAAAAGUACUGGACUUUGUAAAAGUAGAAAACGAGUGAAAUGAUAUCUUUAACUUUAUUUUAAUAAUUGUCUCUCAUUUCUCACCCUUAAUCUGUUUGUGUGUGUGGGUAGAAGAGUACGUUUCACACACAUGUUUUUAUUUGUAUUUUUGUGUUUGGUUGUAUGUUAGAGGUAAAUAGGUUUUGAAGAAGCUGGGGAGGAUAGCUAAGAGAGAGAGAGGCAUUUAGAGAAGAGUACUAAUGAGAAAAUGAGUAGUAGUACUAGAGUCGUCGUUGCAAAAAUGGGAACAAUCACAGAAGCUUUAGAAUGCUCUCUUCAAAAAUGUUCCUUAACCCAUAAUCAUCAUCAUCAUCAUCAUCAUCAUCAAACUCAUCAAGCUCAUCAACAACCUCUAAUUUCUUCUUCUUCUUCUUCUUCUUCUUUUUCUUCUUCUUCUUCUUCUAUUCAUCAGCAUCAGCAUCAGCAAUCAACCUCUUUGGAUCUCAACUCUCAUCUCUCUUUGCCUUACCAUUGGGAGCAAUGUCUUGAUUUAAAGGUUUUUUCCCUUCCUCUUUUCCUUUUUUCAUUUAUAUAUUCUUCCUAAGAAUAUUAAACAAAAAAACUAGGGUUUGAGUUUCACCAAAAAUCCCUUUCUGAACUUUUUCUAUUGUUUGGUUCUACAAGUCAUGACAUGGGCUUGGGUUUGAAUUUGAAGAGGAAUAACCUAUAUGUGGAUUUUUUUAAAAAAGAUUAUGUAAAAAAAAUAGCUUUUUGAACUUUUUUUCUUGUUUGGUUCUCUAAUUCAUGAAGUGGGUUAGGGUUUGAAUUUGAAGUGGAACAAUAUAUAUGUGGAUUUUUUAAAAAAAAUUAUAUACACAAAAAUCCCCUUUUUAAACUUGUUUGUUUCUACAAAUUAAUCAAGUGGGUUAGGGUUUGAAUUUGAAAAGGAAUAAUAUAUAUUAUGUGGAACUAUAAUUUUUGUGAUUUUCUUUUUGGUUGUUGAUUUGUAGACAGGGGAGAUAUACUACAUAAAUUGGAGGAAUGGAAUGAAGGCAAAGGAAGAUCCAAGGUCUACAAUAAUAGAUGAAGAUUAUCAAGAUGAUGAAUAUAGUGAAGAUUACUGUUAUUACUACUCAGACGACCAUGAGGAGGAGGAUGAUAUUAGCUCUUACGACAGCGAAGAGUCGUCGACAGAAUCGACAAACAUGAGGAAGAAGAAGAAGACGUUUGUGGUUGAAGAAGAAGAAGAAAAAGAUGUAUUGGUGGUUGGAGGCUGCAAGAGAUGCCUAAUGUAUUUUAUGGUUCCAAAGCAUCUUCAAGAUUGCCCUAAAUGCAAUAAUGGUCAGCUUCUCCAUUUUGAUCGCUCUCAAAAUCACAUUAUUCCAUGAACUCUUAUUAUUAGACAAAUUAAUCUUUUCAAUUUCAUUCCCUUUUUUCUUCUUCAUGAGAAAAAAUAGAGGAAGAAAGAGGAAGAAAUUAUAUAUAAAAAAAAAAAGAACAAAAAUUCCUCUUUCUUUCUUUCUUUCUUUCUUUCUUUCUUUCUUUCUUUUUGGUUUGAAAUUGUUUCCAUGUGUAUUUGUCAGAAGGGGGAGGCAAACGAGUUUUGGUUUUAGUUUUUUUUUUUAUUAUUUAUAAUUAUUAUUUCAAUUUUUCUUAGCUUUUUAUUAUUAUUAUUAUUUUUGUUUAAUUUUGAAAUGUAAUGGAAAAUGAAAGAUUGAGAAUCAUGUAAUGGGUGUUAACAUUUUCUUUUUGUUAUUUUUUAUUUAUGAUUACAAGAAAGCUUUAUAGUUAUAAAUAAUUAAUGUGUGAUGGGUAUCAAAGUGGAGAAUUUGAAAAACACAAUAAGAUUAUUAGAAAAAAAAUAAAAAUCGUUUAGUUAAUAUUUUUAAAAUAUAAGUCCUAGUUUAAUAAUUUUGACUAUAAAUAUUGAAUUAAUGUAAUAUCAAGUUCUUUAAAAAUUUGUAUCUGGUUUUUCAAAGUGCAUUUGUUAAAUUCUUACCCUUUAAAAAUGUUUUUUUAUUUUUUAUCCAAUAAAUUUUGAUACAUAACUAUCAAAUUCCAAUUCUAAAGAGUUAUUAGAUGAAAAAUUGAAAGUUUUAUUAAUUAAGGUUUAGGAUAUCCACAAAUUAAAAAAAGGAAAGAGAUAUUCGUCAAAUUAUUCCCAAUGAGUAUCAUUGUUUGUUUCUAUUGUGAGCUUCACCAAUCUCAAGCUUUGAAUUUCCUUCUUGACUCUUCAAGAAUCUCACUUAACAACUCUUUCAACAGAAGAAAAUAUUGAAAUCUAUUUAAGUUCUUAAACACUUUAAUUAGGAUUUCUAAUUAUACUUAAAUUUAAUUUUCUAUUUGGAUUAGGGUAUAGAAUAAUAAAAAUUGGCUAAAAAUUGAAGGAGACAUGUUGAACUUAUUUUGCUGGAAAUUGUCAUUGUAAAUCUUUGCAUCAACUUCUUUCUCUUUGAAAACUUCUUCAUUUGAUGCAUAAUUUAAUCCUUUGUCUCUGAAUUUUUCUUUUCUGCUUUAUUUAUUCAAAUAUUGAAGAUUUAAUAAACUAACACGUUAAAGUUCAACUAUUCAUGCUAACCUAACUAAUAAGUAAUAAAGAAAUAACUUUAAUUUGGAAAAAAAUUAACUUUAUUUUUCUCUUGAACUCGAGAUUCGACUCAAACUUAUGAUUUUUUUCAAUAGACCAGUACAAACAUGUCUUACCACAUUCGAAAGAAAGGAUUUGAAUUAUAAACCCACCCUUGAACGUUUGAAAUAUUAACACAUACAUGUCAUUUGACCUAUGCUUGCUUUGGUAAAAAAGUUGAGCUUAUAAUUAACAAUAAAUACUAUAUUUCUAAAUGUUUUUUUAAUAUAACUUUGUAUUAAGAUUUUAUAAUUCAAAAUCGAGAUACACGUUUAAUCGAAUAGACAAUUCUACACUCCUACUUAUGGGUGUCAAUAACCAAUUGUCAAUUACUUUAUUCAUUUGUUUGAAGCUUUAUAUAUAGAGUCUUUUAAAAAACUUUAUAGUUAAUUAACAUGAAAAUAUUGAAUAACACACAAUUGUACAACGUAUAGAACAAGGUAUGUUUAAGUAAUGUUGUUAGGUCAAGACGAUAUUGAUAUGUUAAUAAUAUUAAAAUGAAACCGUUUAUGCUCUCCAAUAACGUACGAAAGUGUACAGUUUGGUAUCCAAAUAUUUUAAAUGAAAGACAGAAUGGUGUGGGCUAUUUGGAUGAAAUUGAGAUUCAAUUUGAUUAACUUAACAUUUUAUAAAUAAUUAAGCAUAUAAACAAAAGUUAAUUAAUAGGUAUAUACAAAAUGGAAUUUGGUUGUUGAUUGAAAAUUGAAUAGAAAAAAUAAAUAAUUAGAGUAAAGUAAGAAGGAGGAAAAAGGUGAGUCUGACCAAAUAAUGAUAAGUUGAAAAGGUGAAAUAAUCCAUAUAAUAAGAUAAGAAAGAAUUUUACAAUUCACAUAAAGUUAAAACUUUAUUUUUUGGACAGAGAAAAAAAAAAGGAUUCGAAAUUGAUGAGACAGAAAUAUUUAAAAGGUUUUUUCAAAAAUAAAAAAAAUAAUUAUGAUAAAUAUUUUAUCUACCAAUACAUUUAAAGUAUUACUUUUUAUACAAUAUUUAUAAUAUGCAUUUGAUUUGUUACAUGGGUUGGUUAUUAUAUAUAAUUCUCAUUUCACUUUUUUAUAAUAAAAACUUUAGCAUUACAUAAAUAAAAUAAAUUAAAAGUUAAAAACUAACCUAUAUUUUCAAUUGUUGAAUUUUACUUCCUCUAUACUUUUAACAAAUAAUAUUAUUUGUUAUUUGUUAGAAAUUUUCACUAUAAACUUUGAAAACAUAUAUAUUUCACACCUUCUAUUUUCUUCGAUGAAAAUUAUUUAACAAAUGUCAAUAAUUAAAAGUGAGCUAAUGUAUGAUAAUUAUUCGUCAUGCGUCAAGUGGGAAAAUUAUUUAUACUUCAUUCAGAUUAACGAAGAAGUGGAGAAUGAACUGUUUUAGUCCUUUCAUAUUUGCUUCAAAGAUUAUCAUAAUAUUAUCGAAACACAGACUAUAAUAAUAACAUAUUAUAAUAAUUCACUCUACGUCCAAAACGUUAGGUUAAAAACAAAUUUGAUGUCAAAUGUUUUAGUUUUUACAAUUUUUGAUAAUGAAUGUGUGUACAAGGGGAGAGGGAGAGGGAGAGGGAGAGAAAUAAUUGUAAAGAUCACGAGAGAGGUGAUUGGGAAAUGGCGAGGAAUGCCAUCUCAUAACUCAUAAACUCAUAAACUAAAAAUGAAAAUGGCAGACAUUAUUGUAUAUUACAUUAUAUUCUAUUGGUUUUUUUAGGAAUCUUUUCUUUUCUUUUUAAUUUUCUGAAACUAUUCUCUGUGGUUCCGACAUUAUCUCUCCUUCUUCUUUCACUGUCUAAAUAUAUUCCUUCUGCCAUUAAUAUACUUCCAAAACUCUCUCUCUCUCUCUAACAUUCGGACUUUUCAUGUUUGUGGGAAUCUUUCUCUGAAACUAUUCUCUCUGUCCAAUAUCCGACAUACCACCCUUUCUCUCUUUCUCCCUCUCAAUAUCACUCCUCUCUAUACAGCAUUUUAACCCUAACGUCUUAUUACUCUCUACUGCUAUACAUUUUAUAACUUUAACCACUCAUAUCUUUGCAUUUAUUUGAAGGUGAGAGUAGUGUGUUAGCUAGGAACAUUAUAUAUAUAUAUAUAUUUCAACCUAACGUAUGGUUUUGGAUUGGUUGAUGAUCUAAUAUUAGUUUUAACGAGAGAGACGUACAUCUUAAAUUCUUAACUAAAAGUUGUCUCAUCUUAAAUGGAACCAAAAUGAGUAGGGACACAUGCAUGUUUAUGUGAAAACUACUAGAGAGCUUAUAAAAAGACGAUUGCCAUCUAGCCCAAAAGGCCCCCCUUAUCGAUGGAGGCUAAGGUCGAGGCUAUCCUACCCUAGUUGGUCCCCUUGUGUAGGCCCGACCCAACCUUCUGGAUUUGCGAAGAAUGGUGGAAAUCUUAGGUUUAGCCAGCUCUUUGUAUAGAAAAAAAAUGCUAUAUAUAUAUAUAUAUAUAUAAUAUUAGAUUAUAAGUUCACCUUUUCUAAAAAAAUUUCCUUUUUAACAUUUAACUUCAAAACUAAAUUAAACAUCCAAGUGUUUGUAUACUAUUAAUGUGUAAUUCUAAUUGUUUUUACGAGUGAACAACUUUUCAAAAACACAAAUACAUCGAGAAGAGGUGGGUUAUCUUAGGGUAGAUUUUACCAACAAAAAAGUUAAAUUAAAAAUUUUACAUGCCCAAGCUCAACUCAAAUGAAACUUUUAUGGAAUUUUUUUAAAACAUUAUAAAUACAAAAAACUUUAACAAAUUGGAAAUUUUCAAACACUGUAAGUACCUAUGGUUGAUAAAAUCUAAAAUUUAAGUAUAUUUGAUAAAUAUUUCUAACCUUUUGUCAUUUACAAUAAUUACCCUAACCUAGGUAUUCUCUUAUGUUCUUUAUAAAUUAACCUAAAUCUUUUAACACGAGAACAAGUUAGGGUUCUCUCUAACUUUGAUGUUCUUUUAGCGAGUCGAUGAUUACUGCUCCCCUUAAUCAAAUGCAAGGUUGCAAAGACUUUUCACUUACUUUCACCCUCUAAUUGUUCCUCACGAAUCACAAAACCAAGUUCUCAACACUACCUCGAUCAAACACAUAAAAACCAACCAAAAUAAAGGAAGACAACUCACAAAAAGUAAAAGAGCCAAGUAGUGAAUAAACCAAAUAAGACAAAAUAAUCCGUCCUAGAACAUAAAAACGACUAAAAGACGAAAGAUAUAGACACUAUAGCCAACAAGGGCUCCAAGAAAAAUAUACCUACCAACACACCAUAACAUAACCAAUUACAUAAUUUAUUUAUUAGCCUAAAUGAACUUAUCAAGUUUUUUACUUUUAAAAUUAUCUUUUGAAUUGUCCGACUCAAUAUUACAAAAUAUCUAACCUUCCUCGUAUAACCACGUUUGUUUCGAAGAAAUAUUUUUUUAAGAUAUAAAUUUCUUUUUUUUUUUGAAUAAUCAUGUUUAUUUUACACAGUUUUUACUUGAAAAUGUCUUUAACUUUACCUACUAUUGGUUAAUUUAGAAUUGAUUUAAUAGAAAUUAAUUAAACUUAUAUAUAACAAUACUUGCUUUUAUUAAUUUAUAUAUUUUUUAAAAUUAAUAUAGUUUUUUUCUUUGUUUUUUUGUUAUUCGUUUCAACAAAUACAUAAUUGAUAAUAUUUAUUUUAAUUAUAAAAUGAAAAUAAACAAGAGUGAUAUAUCUAUGAAAGAAAAAAGACAAAAAAGUAAAAUGGGAACCUUCUUAACACGAACCCUAAAAAGAAAAACCAUGUUUUACGGGACACAUUCUAAAAUGCUCGAGAAUCUUCAAAUUGUAGACUAUGAUCUUAUAAUGCACAACAAAUAUGAUGAACCAUUGAGAAGGAUAUAUAUUUAUAUAUAUGUGUGUAUGUGUAUGCCUUUUCAUUAUAUUUUCUUGGUUGACAAUGAAAUUCUAAUCAUUUGCACAUCACUUUCAAUUCUAUCCUUCUACUCAUUGCACAAUAAGUACCUUAAAAGUAUUAUGUGAAAAAAUUCAAUGUAAAAUGUUAUUACCAAAGUGCACUUCAAAACUAUAUAUCAACAUUCAAUUAGUAAGACAAUAUAGGUUCAAAUUUCCACACUACUCUACAUGUUGUUUUAUUAAUAAUGGUGAAAAGGUUCAACUAAUCCAAAAUUAAGAAAGUUAAAACCUCUUAAUAAAAUAAUUUAAAAUUUAGAAUAUUCGUUAAAUAAAUUGUGUUGAAAGAGAAUUUAAUUCUCUCUUGAAAUUAGUUUUUCAAAAUAGUAAUUUUUGUUUAAUAUAAAAAUUAGCUUUUAAGUAGUUGUUAAAUAAUUUUUUAAAAAUAAUGACUUAUUUUUAAAUUAAACAUUUCAUAAUUUAUUCUAAAGACCCUCUUAGUCUAUGAAAAUACCAAAAAUUUAAUAACUUUAUAAGUUUUAAGUUUAAGAACCAUAAAUCAAAUCAAAUCUCCAAAUUAAUGGCUUAGGAAUUAUCACUUUUAUAAUUGUGUGUGGUUUUGAUAUUUGAUUUCUUCUGAUGUGAACUUUUAUUAAUUAAUUGUUUUCUAAAGGAAUAAAAUACAUCCAUUUAAAUUUCAAACUAGUAAGUAUAUUAGUUUAAAUUUUUACCAUAUAAAAAUCGUAUAAAUUUAUAAGCUAAACUUUUAUAACUUCAUGUUUAUUUAAACCUUAAACUUUAAACUUUAAUAAAUGUAUUAAUUUAAACCUUUUAUUACGUUUUAUUUGGAUACAAAGUUAAAUGUAUAAAUUGAUACAUUUAUGAAAGUUCGUCAGAGUUAUAUUUAAAUUUAUAUAGUUAUAGAAUUUCAUGAUUUAAAUUGAUACAAAUAUUAAUUUAAGAUUUAAUAAUAAUUAGAUUGAUACAAUGUAAGAUUAAGAGAUUUAAGUUGAUAUAAUUAUUAACUCAUGAACUAAAUCGAUACAACCUUCUACUCCAAUAUUUGAGAAAAAAGAGAGAUUUAUAUCAUCUGAAUUUUUAAAACACAUAUAUUUCAUCUACAAUUUUUUUUUUUGAGAAUCUCUCACAAGAUUAUGAACAAAUUUGAGUCCAAAACUUAAGUCCAAGUCCAAGUUAGAGGGAUUUGGCCCAAAACAAAAUGUAAACCCAAACCCAAACCCAAGUCCACUAUUUCUUUUUUUCUUUUUAAUCAAAUUAUCCCAAAACAAUGAUUCUUGAAUUUUCAUUUUCAUUAAUAUUUCUAUACAAUUAAAAAGUUGUAGAGAAAGGAAUGUGUAUUUGAUUUACAAGUUUUAUAAAUGUAUUUUUUUAGUUCUCACGAUAGUAAGGAUAGACCUAUUUGGUCCUCAUGUUUUCACAAGGUACGUUAUUAGUUAUCGAGUUUAUUCAAUGUCUUUUGCUUUUUUUCUCGUUAAUAUCUAGUUUAAACAUUGUGCGGCUUCGUUAUGCUCUUCGAAGUUGUAAUAAGGUGACUUACAAUUUGGCCAACCAUACUCUUAUUGUUGUUUCUUCGUUAGGUUAUUAGUCUGUAAAUUUGCUUGAGAUGAGAGAGCACGAAACGUUUCUUUAGAUUAUUUAUAUUGAAUGGAUUCUCUGAAAAAAAAAAGCAUGCAUUUGUACUUACUAACUUGAUCAUACUGUAACUAGUGCGAACUUAUACUAUUCCACCUUGAGAUUUGAGAUUUUAUUACCUUACCCCACAAAUUAUAUGAAUACGUUGGUAAUAAAAAGAUUAAAAAGAAAAAAAAAGACUUCAAGAUCAAAAUAUUUAUGUUUCUGUCUAUAUUUCGAAGUUUAUUUUAAAAAAUAUUGAAUUAUAACAAAGAAAAAGGAUAUGGUAGUUUGGAGUAAGCACAAACAAAACAAAACCAGAAGAGUUCCAUAACAAAACAAAUAAAUUCACACAAAGAAAAUGAUAACCUUCAAAUGCAACAGAAGGAAAUAUUUUUGAGGAAAUAUUUUUGAAGAGGAAUAACUUAAAUAAAUCUUCUAAAUAGAAGCUCAAAGCUAUUUAAAACAAUAGGGAAAUACUCACAAGCAUCGACACAAAUAUAUGCAACAUGCCAUUUUUUUAUUUUUUUGUCAUAGUAAAUGAAUUGAUUCAUUUAUAUACUUAAAAGACUUAGCUUAGUGUACUCCACUUUUUCGUCUACUCAACGAGAGUUCUACGUAUGUCUAAUGUAUUGCACAAACAUGUGUAUGAUAGGUGUCCAUCAAGUGUUGGAGUAUCCAAGUGUCCAAAACAUAUCUGACACAUACAGCCUAGCUAAACUAAAGUGUCAGUGUUCUUAGAUAAACAAGAGGUUGAAUAGCAAUUGUGUUAGAAUUCCAUCCCUAUAAUUUUGUAAAACUCUCCUAAAUAGUCUUCACAGCCGAGACUAUUUACGACAAUUAAGAAAAACCGUGAAUAUAUAAGGUUCGACAAAAUUCUAUAACUAUUCUGGAUUUAUAUGAAAUAAAAUAAUUGCAGGAACAUCAGUAAUCCAAACAAUAACAUAGCAUUAGCGAUUAAGCUUAUUUCAUUCAAGGCUGCAGAUAUGGGAGAACCCAUGUGCAAUAACUUACAAAUAACUUUUAAGAAAUUACAAGUCAAACGAGAUUACACAAAGGGCUGAUCCAUAACUCAACAAAUUUUGUUCCUAAAGUUUCAACAAGUAAAAGAAUCACUUCUCAAAACAUUCAGCAAUAGCAUUUGGUGAGAUUGUUUCAUAAGAUAAAAGCAUAUGGGAUAACUGUUCUGAGUUAGAACACUGAUGUUAAUCCUUCUUCAUAAACAAAAAUGUUUGAACCUUGAUAUAGCUGCUUACCGAUCAGAGCCGUCGUCGUUGCAGUUCAAACCAUUAUCAGUGCAUGGGAGACAAGUUUUGUCCAGGCAGUCAGGGCAAACAGUCAAAACCUCUGAAAUAAGCUGGAUCAAAGAACAGAGCCCACCCAAGAAAUUAUGAUCAAUAACACCACUGCUAUCUACAACGUGAGCAAAAUCAACAAGUUUAAUGGCUGGAUUCGACUUAGUUUCCAGUGCAGAUUCUUUAUCAUACACCAUCAGCACUGAGCUAGAAUAAAAAUGGUAAAACUUCUGAUUUUCAAACCAAGUUUUGAGCUCCAAUAAUUGUGCCAAAAUCCCAUUUGUACCACCAUAAACUGAUGGUGCAAAAACACAAUCAAGAUCAUCCACAUCAGAAUCUGCAGAAGCGUUUGAAGAAACAAAUUUCUUCAGAAUAAUCUUAACUUUCUCGGCCGAAGAGUUUUGCAAAAAUUUCCUCUCUGGCUUCCAAUAUCCAGCUUUUUGGCUCACAUGAAUCUGCAAUCCUGAAAUCCUAAACCCUAAAGCCAAGCUAGAGGUUUCUCUAUCCUUCUUAAAGCAUCUUUGAAUAUAAUCCUCGGAAGCUUGUGGAUACCAAGUUCUAGAACCAAUCUUAAUAUCCACAAUCGUCGGAUUUUCGUAAUUUGAGAUUAGAUCCUCCAAAACAAGGUGAGGAUGCAAGCCCGAACCAUCUGAUGCCGGUAUAUCUCGAGUUCCAUGGAAGGCAGGGAAGAAGGAACGAAUUUUAUCAGGAACUUUGGUAUUUGAAGAGAAUGAUUUAUAGAAAGCCACUUCCUUCGAACCUCGUUCAUCCUUCUGUAAAGGCUUGAAGAAGAGCCCUGAAUCAUCCACAAGAGGACCCAUUAUUCCACUACUGGCUUGAUGGCCAGCAACUUGAUGAUCUGGAAUCUUAAACAUGGCCUAAAGAGAAGUAGAAUGAAUGAAAGGAAGUUAAAUUCAUUGUCAUCCUGUUACAUCAUCAAAACAUUCUAGUAGAUUUAUUUAAAAAUACCCAAUAAGUUAUAGACUCCACAGAUAACAAGUGAUUAACAUGAACUUGAAUGAAUUUUGUAACAAUGUCACCAUCCCAUCUAAACACACCAUAAUUCUAAUAUAAGAAAGCUAUGAAUUCAAAGAAACAAGAGAAAGGGAGAUCAAACAUUAUACAAGAAAUUGAAGCAGUAGAAACCACAGACUCGCAAUUAAAUACAUGCAAUUCCCUUUAGGAACUGAAGGUAGCCUAAAAGAUACAAGCAAUCGCAAUCCUGAUCCAAAAACUAAUGCGUAAGAUCAACGAAAUGAGUGAAACUAUCCCUAACGAAAACGCUUAUUCAUUACCGAAUUCAAACGAAAGUUCAGAAGCAAUCAAAGAUGGGUAAUGAGAUGAAAAUAUGAGGGAAAUUCACUGAAUUCUUCGGCGAAUCAUCAAACAAUAAAAGGAAUCUAGAAAAACAAACAGAGAAAUAUGUAGAAACGGAAUUUAUAGAAAGAGAGAGGGAAAAUUUACCAAGCGUUGUAAAGGGAAAAGGAAUUUGAGGAAGAGAGAGAAGUGGCAAUGGUGGAUGGGAAGAAGAAGCGUGAGAGCAAUGGCUUUUAUAUUGAUGCACCUCGGGCGGCGGCGGCGACGGCGGCGGUGUUGCUUCCCCACCUCCGCAUCUUCAGUCAACAAAAGAUUACAACCUUUUUAUGACUUCCUUUCCUUUCCUUUCCUUUCACUUUUAAUCAUAUCAAAUUACAUCAAUUAUACUAUUUUAAAAAAAAGAAAAACUCAAAUCGAUCUCUAUUGUCAACAACAAAAAGUAGCUUUUGAAAAAUCCAAUUGGAAUUUUUUCGAUUUGAUAGUCGAUUCCAUUUUUCAAUUUAUCAUAUUCACUCCUUAAUUACACAUAAAAAAAUUACUUAAUUACACAUGAAAAAAAUUACUUAUUUUCUUAGUUAUUUAUUUAUCAUACACUCCUUAAUUACUCAUUUUUAGAAAUUUUGUCAAAAUUAUAAUUAAUAUUAAUUCUUCUAGAAAUAUAACUCACUUUACAAUUUAUUAUACAACGAAAGAGUAUUAUUCACAUGAUCGAAAAUGAACAAAAAUAAAUUCCUAAGAUGUUGAUUGAUCUUUACCCCCAAGAAGUUGAUAGCUCUCAUGACAAAAAAAUGAAUUAAAUAGUAAGGAAUUAUUUAUCUUUUUAAGUGGAAGGAAGCAAUGGGGAAUAAUGAACAUUGACAUUUGAGUAGGGGAAUAAUGAACAUCUUUAUCUAGUUAUUAAAAUUUGAGAAUAUGUUUUUUUUCUUUAAAAAAAUAAUAAAUAAGUAUUUAUGGGAAUUGUUAUAAUAGCACCGAACAAAAUUUAUAAAUAUUUUAUAAAUAAUUUCAAUAUAUUGUCAUUUUUUAAAACACCCCUAAGAAUUUCCUUUUUUUCUUUCUUCUUGAUAGAUUAAAUUUUAAAAAAAAUGGAAUCAAGAUUUUAACAAACAUCAAACAAGCUAAAUGUAAAUGACAAGAACUACAAGGUGGAGAACAAGAACAAAAACAAUAAAAGUUAAAAAAAAAAUAGUUAGAAAGCUUUAUUUGUAAAAGUGGUUAAAAUUCAAUUUUGUCAAAACAAAAAUUAGAUGAUGGGGAUAAAAAAUUUAUAUUUUUUUCUUUUGGGAAAAGUAAAGUAAAACUAGGUAAAAAAGAAGAGAAAAAAAGCAUAAUUUGUCUCUCUUUGAAAGUUCGUUGUAGUUUGAAAAUUCCCCACUUUUCAUCUCCAUCUCUUCUAUUUUUAAAGAUUUUAGAAGCAGAUUAAAAAGGAGGCCAAAUCUAACUAUGCCAAAAUGAAAUGGUUUGAACAAAAGCACUUUUGAUUGUCCUGAUUCGAAUUGAGAUUAGUUAAAUAAUAGAUAGGAAGCAUUAGGACAGAUCUACUGACAUAGAUGAUAUUAAAAAUGAUAUGUAACACUCUUUUUUGUUAUUAUUGUGGUUGUAAUUAUUUUUUAGAAAGAUGUUCAAAAUAAAGAAAAUAUUAUAUUAUUAUAUAUUAUUUUAUUGAAAAAAACAACAUAAGAAAAUAUAAACAAUAUCAAUUUGAAAAGAAAUUCAAAUCAAUUAAAAAAAAAUAUGUUAUAUAAUUUCAAAUAGUAUUAUAUCAAAUUAAUGAAGAGUUGUAGGUAAAGACAUUGUUGGAACAUUAUGUAAAGUAAAGAUAUUUUCGAGUAUAAAUCCUAAAAAAAAAAAAACAAAUAAAGUUAGGAAGUGUCGUUUAAGGUAAAGCUCUAAAAUGGAGUUUCGGAUGAGCAUCAGUUGAUCGAAGUAUAUUUUCCAACUAAACCAAUACCGAAUUAACUAUGGUCAAUUUAGUAAAUGUUCAAACUGACAUCAACUACAAAUGUUCAAACUAGUAAAUGAUCGUCAGAUUAUACAUUUGAAAAUUUUUAAACAAAUGUCGUCGAUUUAGAUUUUUUCCAAACCGACAUAGACCAACCUCUUCUUACCUUCGAUUUGGUUAGUCGACUCAGUUUUAUGGUCUACUAUGCUCAUCUCUACUAAAAACUAUUAAGGUUAAGUUAUUAAACACUAACUCGUCAAAUUAGAACACAUCAUAAUUAGUUUGAGGCGUUAGGUUUCGCACACAAUUAGACCUUUUUCUUUAAAUAGCCAAAUACAUUCCUUCCAAGGAGAAGCUUAUUUUGCACUUUUAAAUCUUCAUCAUCGAACGACCAAAAUAAGCCUAUCAAAAGAAGAUAAUAAAAUGUGUCUUAGAUAAUGGAGACACAGAAUGCAAUAAGAAAAGUUAUUAUUUUUCAUGAUAGGACUGGGAUAAAAAAAGGAAUCAAAUUACUAAUCAAAAUUUGAAAUAUUAAACAAAUCUCUGCUUCAACUGACGCAAUCUUGUCAUUUUCCAUUUAGUAUAGUACAAAAAAGAAGUGUUUUAUUGUUUUUCACACAUGUAUUGGUUUCACAUUAUAUGGUUAAAUGAUUAUCAAUCAAGUUUGUAGCUUUAUUGAAAACUUCAUCUUCUCUCCUUAAUGCACAUUUAUUAAUAAUCAACAUGUGUAACUCGACUAUCCAAACGUAAACUUCGUGAUCCCAACGUACCAACUCUAGACUUUAAAACGCAACUGCUAUAUAUCUCUAAUUAUAUUAUAUAUUGAACAGAAUACACAUCUGAAUAUAUAUAUAUAUUUUUUUUAUUGAGCAUAGAUUUCUUUGAGUAUUUUUUGUGGAGAAACUGUUAGGAUACUCCUAACAAGAAUCACUAUUUACAAUGAAGAACUACAAUAGGAUCCAAGUUUAUAGUACUUGGGACCCCCUCUCUUUGAGAAUAGUACUCAACUAACAGUUUUGAAAAAAAAGAUAACUUUGAAGCACUUUAGAAAAAGAGGGGAAAGAAGGGGUCCAAGAAAAGGGGACCCCUCUCUCCCUCUUUACCUUUGAAAAAAGAUUACUUUAAAGCACUUUAGAAAACCAGCAGUGCAAGGAGAAUAAAUGUCCUGUUUUAGAUUAUGGUGGUGGGUUCUCUAAACUGUUUUAAGACUAUGCAAAGGAAGCUUCCCAAUAUGUGUUUGCUGCCUUCCGUGUGCCCCCUUUGCUUGAAAACAGUGAGCUCCUAAUACACAUUCAUUUUCCAUCCCUUCUCAUCUAAUUGUUGGUUUAGCAUAUUUUCUAUGCUCAAAACAGCUUCGAUAGUUUUUCUAUGCUCAAAAAAGGAUUGGGUUGACAUCUUCCAUGAUUAAAAAAAGGAUUGAGUUGACAUCGUAGACAAUUCUAAAAAGAAAUGCAGCAGCUUGGUGUUCUUCAAAUACAAAAUUCAAAGAUUACUCCAUACAGGAUAUCUGCCUCAAUUGGACUACCUUCACCUAAAGAGAUUCAAUGAAGUUUCCCCCAAUUGCUAGUUCAGAAUUUGUGCUUUUGUAGUUUUGACGAGCUUUAUUAUGUAUUUCUACCAUUAAGUUUUUAUUUUUCAGCCUUGCUUCUUCUGUCUAAUGUACGUAGUUUAUAUUGUUAUUUUGGUUGUUACUUUGGUCUUUUCAUGACUGGUAUUGUUCUUGUAUUUUGGAUAUGAUGAGGGUACUAUGGGAGUGUGAACCUAGUUGAGAUGUCCAAUCUCACAAACAACACAUCUAAGCCUUUGGUCUUUUCAUGACUGGUAUUGUUCUUGUAUUUUGGAUAUGAUGAGGGUACUAUGGGAGUGUGAACCUAGUUGAGAUGUCCAAUCUCACAAACAACACAUCUAAGCCUUCAACAUUUGGGCAUCCAGAAAACUCGUAGGUCAUUAAAUCCUUGAUAGCUGGUCACGAUGAAUUGAACUCAUUCCUUCUAAGCCCUUUACCACAUCAUGUCCUUUAUGAUUAGGCCAAUCCAUGAUGAUUUAUCCUACCUGCCAACCCAAGCUUAAAUUUUUUUCUGUUUACAUAGGAAGAUGGGAUAAAUUUCCCUAUUUUCAGGAGCAAUGUAGCUAUUUUGCAAUAACUAGUUUUUUCAAGUUAUGAUCUUACUUAAUACCGAUCAUUGUUGUGAAUAUUGUUGAUGAUUGUUUCAUUAUCAAAAGUUUGGAUGUCAAUACAUGAAAAUGAAAAAGAAAAUAUAUAGGUAACAAUAUACUAAGUUGAAAAUUGAUUGUUUCUUACCGUUUUUUGUGUUGUUAUGUUGGCCAUCGCAGCAAAGAUGCAGGUAAGGAAAAGUAGGGAGGCAAGAAAACUCACAGAUAUGAUUCUGGCCAAAAUAAUGUAUGGCUGGGCAACAGAUUUUUUGACAUGAAUCCCAAGAACACCAUUGGACAGUUCUUUCUCUUCAGAGUAAAAGUUCCUGUAUAUUUGAACACCUGAAACAAGUUUCAUCCCCAUAAACCAAUACAAUAUUCAAAUGGUAGCUAGAUUAUUUCACACACACGAGAGAGAUAACAUAAGGAGAAUUAUUUUAAAUGGCAAAACUUCUAAAAAAUAAUUACAAAUAUAGCAAAAUAUCACAAGGUACUAACAAAUAAUGUUUCAAAGUCAUAAAGUACACUAAGCAAAUAAUCUUUUAGAAUUACUACGCUAUAAUAAAAAUAAAUAGGCAAGAAGGAUUAUAUCAAAAUUCUAUAGAACAAAAGAACAAAUAGAAAGUUCAUACUAAAGAAUUAUCAUGAACAAGAUAAUGAAAUACCAAGGAAACGAAAAAUUAUAGACAUUGGUAUUUUAUCUUACCAUCUGUUAAGGUUUUUACUCCAGGAAGAACGUUAUCAAGACUCUCUGCUUUCAACAUCGCAUAAAAUGAAGGGUAUUGACGUACAUCCUACAGCAUUCCAGAAGUUUGUAUGGAAAUAAUAUAGUGUAGAAAUGUCAAUGUUUUGAAUUUUUGUGGAAUUAAUACCUGAACCUCAAACAACAAACAUUUAUUGAAAAGUAUCAACGCUCCAGACUGAAUUCUGUACCAAAGAGGUUAAAAAUUAUUGGAGAAUAAAAUUACAUGCAACUUUGACAUUUGUGUUGUUUUGUCUAGUUCAAGACUAUCUCCCCAAACUGUAAAUUAACGAGCCAAUAACAACAAAGAAUCUAUGUAAUGUUUCACAGCUAUAGCCACUCAAAUGUCCCCAAUACUGUAACUAAGAAAGCAAUUUUAUAAUGGGAAAGUUUCUUGCAAUACCGAUUGUAAUUACCAGCAGCACAUCUUCCCUCCACUCUCUUUAGGCCAUCUAGAACCAAUUAUAUAUUGCACAAGAGAAAUCAAUGUCAAAAAUCACAACACUAAACCAAUAGAGCAACAAGACAAGAUUCCCAAGAAAACUACUACUAAAGUGAACCCAAAAGCUUAAGCUAAUAUCUUUUAUUAUAUUACUAACAAAACCUGACAUGUAAACUAUUAAUAUCCAUAAGAAGGAAUUUGAAUUCAAGACUCCUCUGAUAGGAUACCAUCUUGUCUAUACAUUGUGUCUAAAUUGCCAAUAGACAUGCCAUUGGUUACUGAUUCAAGUCACUAGAUGCUCAGUUAGGUAUUCAGAUGUUAAGCCUCUCUUAAGCAAUGAAAGCUAUUUGUGGUUAUUUGUAGUUGUAGUACACUAGUUGAUUUUACACGGUAAAAAAUUCAACUUUCAAGAGUAAGAAUAGCCUUUACUUAAAAGAAAAAUGAGUAAGAGGUAGAGGUAUCCUAGUGCAGAGUUCAGUAUAAAAGUAGUGACAUGAUUCUUUUCUUGUAGCAAAUACUUUGAUAACAGAGUUGGUGUCAUGGGGUGUUUUCGAGGUAUAACUUUUUGUGCGCCAAUCCUUGGUUAUUGAGUUUUUGGUAUAACGUGUGCUGUGUACUUGGAGCCCUUGAGUGAGAGAGGCUUGAUUUUUGCACGAUCUUGUUUACAUAUUCAGUACUUUUAAUACCAUCUAACACAAGCUUAAGAAUGUUAAGAAAAUAUAACAGAAUUACCUUUUAGCUGAGUAAAGAAAGGCUCCUGAACAUGAAGCUCAAAGUUUACUGUCUUUAGAACCUGCGAUGUACAAGCAAAAACUAAAUUAGACAUAGGAGAUGGGUGUUGGAAAUUGUCACGAUUAUAAACUCGAUCAACCAAUGAUAUGAGUAAAAGCACUUGCAUUUACUAAUUCAGCUCGUCCUUCAGCAAUCUCAUUACUUUCUUCUUCGUCCUCGAAGUCAUCUAGUGACCCACACGAUGCUUUGGAAACUGACUUCAAAAGAGUGGAUACUAGAUCCUUAUACAAUCUGGAAACAUCUGAUAGAGAAUGUGAUAUAUCGAGUGUGAAGAGAAGUAUUUCUCAUUCCUCUUGUUAUUCAUAUUAAAAUAUAAAUCAAAAACAGGAAAGUUUGUUUAACCUUAUGCUUGCUGAAGUAAAGAGAACAGGUACGUUUGGAUAAUAUAAACCCAAAAUAGAAUAAAUAUCAUCUCGCGUUUGCGUUGUUCAGAAACGAACAAGCAUUAAAAAUGCCCAUGAAAUAUCACAGAGGAAUCCAAAUACAAAGAUCUCAAAGAAAUGGGAGCAACCCAUUACAGAUAAUAGCUUAGUCCUUCAACGAAUCAUGAACUACAAUCACUAAUCUAAUUUAGUUCCGUUUUAUUAAAAUCAAAACAAACUACACUCAUAAAGUUCCAGAAUCUAAUUAGAAGUAGACCAUUUCUCCUUUACCACUGAAUCCGCUACCAAAAUCAACGACUCCCGACAAGUAAAUUUCAAAACCAACAGAGAAAAACGCGAGUUCAAGAGAAUCAAUUUCUACUACCGUUACCGAAAAUUAGAAACAAAGGAUUCAUAAUUUGAAUUUCAGUACCAGGACAAUCAUUAUGAUUGAGAAGGUGAGAAGAGAAGUCUGUAGAAAACCCUAGAUCAUGGUCUAUGUCAAGGGUUCCAUUGAUGUGAGAUUGGAGCGUGAACUUGAGCAGCUCUUCUAGGCAGUCUCGUAGCUCAACCGGCGAUGAUCCGGGUGAACAUGGCCGUCGCUGCAUUCUUUUCUUUUUUUCUUUUACUUUUUUUCAAAUUUUGAACAAUCACUAUUUAUAUCCGAUGGUGAAAAGCAGUCGAAAAUCGCAAUGCAUUGCUUAGAGGCUUUGUGAUGAACUAAACUAUAUGCUAAAUUGUAUGUAAAUUUUUGUGGGUUUGUUCUUGAGGUAUAACUAACCUUCCUAUCUUUUAAUCACGGCCUGCUAGUAAAGCAAAGUUACUAUAAGAAAUUCAAAGAAAACCUUCUCUCUCGGAUUCUGUAGUAAUCAUUUGUUUGACAUCUUUAGAUUACCAUAUUGUUUGUUUUUAUAAGAAUUCAUGUGAUUAUUUAUUUGAUAUAGUUUUAUUAUUGCAUUGAUUUUAUUAAAGGCAAAACUUGAGGAACGCGCUCGAUAACAUGUCAAGACAUUGUCUCUUAACAAUAAAAGAUUAUUUUCACAAAUAUCUCUUAACAAUGAAAGAUUCUUUUCACAUGUAAUUACAUGUGAUUGAUUAUGAUAUUUUGAUAUAUUUUAUAAAUAUUUGAAUUUAUUUUAAUAUAUUGAAAAUUUUGAGACAACAAAAAUUGAAACCAACUACAUACAUCGGCAACAUUAUUUUGGGUAAAAUUUAGCCUAUAUAUAUAUAUAUACAUAACACACCCACGUUUUGCCUCUAACCCUAGCCAUACCCAGAGCUCGCUUACGCGUAUUCUCGGGAUCACUGAUUAAUUCUAUCCUAAACCAAUUAUGAGAUGUAAGAGCUCUAUAUAAAAUGUCAAUGAUUAGCCAUCUCCAUCGUCUUUGGAGUCGAAGAAUUGGGUUGAACUGAUCCAUCAAAAUGGUGGAGUUUUUGGUCAAUGUUGGCUCUAAUUGUCCAAAUCAAGACCAAACACACCAUAACAAUUGAAACAAAAACCAACCCUACCCAAACCAUAUAGGCAUAUUUCUCCAAUGGCUUGCAAUGAUGUUCUAAGAUUUUUGAAAAUGCAUCUUUCACUGUUUGACAUUCCACAAGGCUUUCCAUUCCUGGAUACACAUUGAGGAAAUCUUGUAUUGAGUUUGUGUAAGCUUCCACUGUUUUGUACUCAAAGUUUGACAUGAACUGCCCAUUCUCACACCCUCCAUUGUUUUCAUCAGCACAUGUGAGAAGUUUUAGUACCUGAAAGAAUCACGAUGAUAUAAUAAUGUCGAUAAAGAUUGUGUUGAUGAAAAUGUGUCUAAUAUGUUCUUUAGAGUACUGUUAGUCACAUUAUCUCAAUUUAGCAUAACGCACAAAGACGAUGUUUAUAGUGAGGCCGGGGGAGACAAAAACGACAUUUAGCGCGAUGCUGCUUAAAAGUGAACAAUAACAAUAACGCCGUACGCCGUAACGUAUUUACCUUGGGGAUGUCUCCAAUACGGAUGGUGUUUGCUGCACAGUUUUGAGGUUGGUAUUCAUAAUAAGGAGGUUGUGAGAAAGGAUUACAAACCAAAGCAAUGUCUGGAUAUGAUAUAGCAAUUUGUGUGUUAACCUGAAAAAAUAUUAAGAAGUAAAAAGGUUAUUAUAAUUUGUGUAAUUAACUAACUUUAAGCUAAUAAUAUAAUUAAAAAAGUGUAUUUUGCAUAUAGAAUAAUUACCUGAUUAACCAGAUCAUAAAUCUCUGAACUUACAUCAGUAAGAACUGAUUUUGCAGUUAGAAGUUGCUCACAUGGGAGAAUAGAGCUUAGGCUAUUGUUGUUGGGAUUUUCUUGAAACAUUUCAAGAGCUUUGCAAGUGUCACUUGAGAAACUGAAAUCAAACCAAAAUCAAUUAUUUAUUUUUAGUCUUUAAAAACUGCCGGAGAUAUAUAUUAACAAAAUAUAGCAAAAUUUUAGAGAUAUUAAUCAUAGAUUUAUAUCAAUUUCAUAUCCUAUCAACUAUAGUCAUCGUUAAACUUCUAAAAUCUUAGCAAUGAUUGAUAUGGAUAAUGUUUAGACAUUAAUAGACGUUGAUAAAUAUAUAUAUCAAUGCAUGGACGGAUAUGCUAUAUUUGAAAAUGCAUGUAAUAAAAAUGAAAGUUUUAAGUUUAAAGAGAGAUGGGAGAGAGAGAGUUACUUGUUCAAGAAAAGGUACAACCCAAAGAAGAUCCAACACAGAACUGUGAGAAUCCAACAAAGGAGAAUGAAACUGCAAGAAAACAAAAAAGUCAAAUUUUUUAAGUAUGGUUUUCUUUUUGUGUGUGUUUUUAUGAGAAAAUUAUAUGAACAUUAAGGAGUGAGUAAUACUUACAGGUGAAGUAAUCUUUGUAAUCUGAGAAUCCCAAAUACUGCAAAACAAAACAAAACAUAUAUAAACAAAAUUGAACUCUCAUGUACAAAGCUAUUUAGGUAAGAAACCUUGCAAAAAAAAACUGACCAGACAUGGCAAUUACAGCUCCCAAGUUCAAAGACAUUGUAACCAUAGUCACUAUGUACCUGCAAAACCAUACACACAUCCCCUCUUUCAAUCCCGAGUACUGUUUUGUUUUAGAAUUUAAGAAGAAGAAAUAAAGAGAGAGAGAGAGAAGAAGUUUAAGGGUAUAGUAAAAUUACACAAUGUUGAGGCCUUUGUGGAUCAAAAGCCUAUUCUUAUUGGCUUGCCAUUGAAUAUUUGCAGCUUGAGCAUCAAGAUUGUGAGAAGUAGAAGUCAAAGUUCCAGAGGUUUCUUGAAUUCUAUAACUUCCAGUUGUUUUAGAAGCUUCUAGGUUAGAAAUCAUGUCUUUCAUAGCUGAAGUUGUAUUUUGAAUUGUAUUUGAUGCUCCAUUGGCUGUCUCUAUAAUGAUCUUCACUACAUUUUUUGCCUCUUUAUCAAAUCUAGUGCUUCCUCCAAUCACCACUCCACAUCCCACACUGCCAAACUCAAUAAAAAUAAAUAAAUAAAUAUACUGAGGUUUGUUCAUGUUAAACAUCACAAUUUUCAACACAUAAAAAAAGGUUAUUUGAAUUACUUUCAAGUAUACACGACUUACAUUGCCAAAAUGGUGAAGAAAGCAGCCAAAAGAAUGGUCCAUAGGUAGAAUUCCUGGCCAAGAUGUGGCAUUUUCUUUAGCUUUCGCUUUCCCCUUCCCUUUCCAGUACAACAUAGAGUUGCUACCAAAAAUCCUCCAUAUGCUAUUCCACACACAAGCCAUACCACUCCAAUCCCAUACCCUACAGCUCCUGUGAAAACUGUUGACUAUAAACAAACAAGAAACUGCUAGUUAGGUGAAAAGUUUUUUUAGUACAGUACGUAAAAGUUCGUUCUUAAUUUGAUACAAAAUUUAUAUAUUUACAGAAACCCUCCUAGAUGUAUUAAUACUCCUGAACUUUCAAAUAGAUAUAUAUACAUUAAAGCUAAACUUAGUAACUUAAUUUAUCCAUUAGAAAUUCAGAAUUAUACUUCUUUUUUAUACCCACAAAGAAAAAAGUUUAAAUUAAAAAACAAAUAAUAACUUUCUUGUCAUAUAGUUGCUUCCACCGUAUAACUAAAACUAUUUAUAAAUUUUCCUUUAUUUUGUAAAAAUUUUCUUUAUCACUUCUAACUUUUGUAGUUCUUUUUCUUCAGACUGGUGCAAAGGGCACCCUCAGCAUGCUUGCAUUGCAAACAAAUAGAGUUUCGUAACUUAAUCCAACUCUACUCAUAAACGUAAUAAAAAACUGGAAAUGAAGAAAAAAGAAAACUUACACUCCAGUAGUGUUUGUUGGUGAUGUUAUAUCCACCUCUAUACUUAUUGAAAUGAUUCAAAGGAUCAACUCUAACUGUAUCAUCUGCUUCUUUGAUUGCUUCCAACCCAUCAUUUUUUCGCACAAAAUCCCUCCCUAUACCCAAAAUUAUUAUUAAUUACUUUCAAGUGAUCUCUACUAAAAAAAUAAAAUUUAAAUUAACUAAAUUAAAUUAAAUUACCAUCUUGUAGUAGAGAAUUUGAUGAUGAAAUUUCCUGUCCCAAAGUUUCUGGGAAAAUCCAGCUUGAACUCACCAACAAGAAAACCAAAGCAAUUUUCAUCACUACUUUUACUCCAUUUUUUGAUCCCAUCAUCUGAAAAAAGAAAUUAUUCACACAUAUAAAAAAUAUUUUUUUAAAAAAAACAAAAUUACUGUAUUUAAUAAAUAAAUGAAAACCAACCUAUUAGUAAAUGAAAAAAAAAAAAAAAACUGGGAGAUGAUAAAAUAGAGAGAUGGAGUGAUUUAAGUGAAAAAGGUUUUGCUUGAAAAACAGAAUGUCCAAAUUUACAAGAAAGGAACAAAAACUAUUGAAUGGAAUAAUUUUCAAUUAUAAUAUUUUUCAAGAACUUCUUCAUUAUAACCUUAGAAAGAGAGAGAGAGAAAAAAAUACCAGAGAUGAGAGACAAAAACUCUGCAAAUUAAUAUGAACAUGUCCAACUUUUCAGGAGAAAAAUAAAACAGAAGAACAUAAGAAAAUGAAUAUAUAUAUAUAUAUAUGUGUGUGUGUGUGUGUGUGUGUGUGUGUAUGUAUAUAAUUAAGUUAUAUCUUUUUAACCAACUCCUCCAUUAAAUUUUAAAGCUCUAACAAAACCAAAACCAUAUACUGUUGAUGAUGCAUGAGAUGAUUGUAGAGAGAGAAAGUUGGUCUUCGUUUUACUUUCAACUUAAUCCAACACUUUUUUGUGGGUUUAAUUAAUUAUGUUCUUACUAUUCAUUUCAAAUUUGGGUUUUUGUUUGAAAAAGAAACCCAUAUGAAGAAUAUUAUGUGAGCAGAGUUAUAAAUUAUAAAAUAUCUGAUCUCUUUUUUCUUUCUUCUGUGUAGCCUAGAUGUUGAAGUCAAAGAAGUCAUUCUUCCACUAAAGUAAAUGAAGGGGUUGGUGAUGAAGUUUCUUGGCUCAUGUGUCUUUUGAAUUUCGGGAAUUUUUUUUGUUUAAUUUCCUUUUCUUUUUUUAUUUGUUAAUCCCUAUAUUUAAUUACAGACAUUAAUUUCCAUUGAAUAAAUUACAAUGAUUCCUUAAACCUUAAUGAAUUCUUCAACUUUGGUCUACACAAUAUUCAUAUAAAUUUUAUUAAUUUUGCACAAUAUUCAUAUAAAUUUUAUUAAUUUUGAAAAUGCAACGGAAAUUGUAAAAAAUAGUAAAUUAGAAAAGUAAAAAACAUUGAUAGUCAUUAUUAUGUCUAAUAAAUUUAUUUAUUUUAAUUAAAAAGUACUGUUGAAUAUUAUAAGAUCUUAUUAGAAAUAGUCUAUUUUAACAUUAAAUUGAUUUUAUUUUUUUGGCAAUAAAUCUAUAAAUUUUAACCAAUGUUUUCUUAAGAUUGGUAAAUAUAAUAAUAAUAAUAAAUAUGAAAUAAAUUUAAAACAAAUCUUAACAUAAUUAAUGUCAUAUUUAAAGUAAAGUUAAAAGUAUUAUUUUGGUCCUCAUUUAUUUAAAUUUGUCCAAUUUAGUAUAUGUAAUUUCAGUCAACCUAAAAUUAACUUCUCCAAGUUAUUUUUUAUGGUUAAAUAGUAAUAAUAUUUUUCAUGCAAGAAGAAACUACAAUACACAUAUUAUGAAAAGAAAAAAAAAGUUAAUAAAUAAUAAAAAAGAGUAUUUUUAAAAAUAGCAAAACAAAUUAAAAUAUUUAUCAGCUAUAGUAAAAUUUUGGAUUUUAUCAAUGAUAGUCUUCUAUCACUAUAGCAUAUCAAUGACUAUCAAUGAUAUAAUUUGUUAUAAGUUGUAAAUAUUUUGUAAAAUUUACCAUUUUUAAAAAUUUUCCUAAUAAAAAAUUCUAAAAACAAUCCAUAACAAUGAUAGACACGAAUAAAAUUAUGUUAUUGUUCAUUAAUGACGACAUUAGUACAAGUAGAAGUCUAGCGACGUCUAUCAUUAAUAAAAUUUAAAAUUUUACUAUAUUUUAUAAAUACUUAUUAAUUGUUUAAACACAAAGAAGAAACGAACCAAAAUGGUAAUUUAAGCUAAAAGUUUGUAUUUUGGAAAGUGUGGGUUCAUUGAAUGGGGUAAGUGAUGUGAUUGUGUGGUGUGUAGUUGAAUUUUCAAGAUGAGUGAAAUCGAAGGGGUAGACGUGGAGAAGAGGAAAAGGCAAAUUAUGUCUUUCUUUAUAGUCUCAAAAGGAAGCCAAAGCUAAGAAAAAUAAAAUUUGCCUUUUCAUAUUACAUUAAAUUAUACAUUUUAUCUCUCUUCAUCUACUUUCAUUUUCAUUAACAUUGUUAGAUGCUAUAAUUUUAGUCAAAGAAAAUGUAAAUAAUGUCGAAACUCGAAAUUUGAUUAAGAAUUCAAUUCUUUUAUUUUAGAAAUAUUAAAAAAUGUAAUUAAAAAUUGUAAGAAAAUAUGUAUUUCUAAAAAUGAAAAAACCCUUUAAUUUUGAUUAACUGUGUUAAUUUAUAUAUGCAUCAUUUCUAUAAUUUGUUAAUCUCUUACCUAUAAUUUUUUUAAAUUUUUUUGCAAAAUUUAGGUUAACUUUCUAACUAUUUAUAUUUAACUUCAAAGUUGAUCAUACGAACAUUAGGUCAAUUAAGUUACUAUUAUACACGUUUAAUAAUUUUACAUAUUCAUUCCAAGUUUUUUAAUUCUUACUUACAUUUAUAAUUUUCAAAGUUGGAUUUUUCAACUCAAUACAGCCAUCCUUUUUAAUUAUUAUUUUUCAUUUUUAUAAAGUGAAUUAUAUAUUGUCUCACCAUUUUCAUAAUCCAAACCUUCUUUUGAUAUUCAACCCACAUGGAUAAUACUCAAAUAAUAUUUGUUGUAGUUUAUAUAUCAAUAAUAUUUGUUUAAACAAAAGUAGUUUAUAAACAUAUUUAGUUUUUUUUUUUUCUUUUAAGAACCAAACCCUAAUCAAUUCAUAUUGAUCUACCAUAUCUAAGAAAUGUCAAUAAAUCUUUUAACAAUAUUGUUCACUGAAUGAAUUUAAUUAUUAUAAAUUUAACUAAAAAGUCAUUAUAGAAAAAUCAUAAAUGAACUAAAUGGUUACCCUAUACAAAGCUAAGUUAAGACAGUGUGUAUAUAUAUAUUGACAUUUUCAAAUAAUAUAACGUAGUAGUUAACUAAAAUAUUUACAAAAUUAGUAAAAUUUCAUAUUCUAUCAACAAAGUGCAUUGAUAGAUAUAUUGAUAGAUCAAAUAUUAGUGUCUAUCAAUGUUUAUCGAUCUUUAUUAUCGAUAGAAUCUGAAAUAAUCUUGCUAUAUUUAGUAGAUAUUUUUAUCCGUUUUAUUAAAUUAGAUUUUCAUACCUCUUUUCCUUACACAAAUCAAAACAACAUAACAUACAACUUAAGGAUUCCAUCUCAUUUACAAAACAAACAAGAGAGAAGAGAGAGAGGGAAAAAAACAAUAUUCAUGUAAAGAAAGUAAAAACAAUAUAGUAAUUAUAAUGAUUAUGAAGAUCCCUUUUGUAGGUAUAUAAGCUAAGUUGUUUGUGUAAUAUAAUUUGGAGUGGGAAUAUGGGUUUCCUUUGAAGAUUCUUCAUGUGUGUGAAAAGCUUGAAAUAUUUUAGGGUUUUUAGAGGUUGCUUAAUAAUGUUAUAAAGAGAGAGAGUGAGAAAAACAAAAAGUUUAAAUUUGAAAAGGAAGAAGGAAAGAAGAAAAAUACAAAUUUGUAACCAAUAAGGUAACCAUACUUUUUAUACCAUUAUUUCACAUUCAUAAAACUAUAAUAUAUAUGUAUAUUCAAACAAUAGUAAAAUAUUUGACCAAGAAAACACUACUUUUAAAUUAUAUAUAGACUCUUCCAAAUUAUGGUUUGAUAAACUUAAAAAAUGAUAGUAUGAUACUCUUAUUCACUUAAAACUUAAUUUUAAAAGGAAAACACUAUAACCAUGCAUAAGGGAGUUCUUGAGAUAAAGAGUAAGAAGUUCUCAACUCUUGAGACUCACAGCAGAUAGAGUUGGUAAGGUAUAAAAUUGAUGUUUUUAGUAGUGAGACGCACGAAAUCCUUAGAUAUAUUAAACAAGAAAGGGAGUUCACAACUCAAUCGUUCCAUACUUCUACUUCCAAACUCCUUAGUAAAAAAAUGUUUUAAGAAAAACGACUAUAUUGAACAGUGAUGAUAGUUCCGACGUUUUUUAAAACAGUUUAUUUUGAAAAUUAAACCAAACCUACUCAAGCUAACCUGAGAUCAAAAUGACAUAAGAAAGUGGUAAUAAAUUUUGUAUAUAUUUAGGUGUGAGAUGGAAUUAUUGAAGUGAACAAGUGAAGCAAUCAAUAUAAAUUAACAAAUGAAUUUGAAAAAGUAAAAGUCAAAAGAAAUAGCACAAAAGUACUUAAUGCUAUCGUUUCACAAAGUCUAACAAGUGGAAAACUAACGGCUUCCAUACUUUGAACAGCGACUUUUUCCCCCAAAAUUGUAUAAAUUAAACCCUAAUUUGGGCGUAUACUUUAAUUUAUAGUUCCCCUUUUCCAAAACAAUAAUAUUUUUAAUAAUUGUCCACGUCCGAGUUAAGUUAUUUUAAGUUAAUAAAUAAUAUACUUUAAAAUAAAUAAAUUUUAGGAGAAUUGUCAAAAAUAAAAAAUUUGACAAAAAAUUUACAAUUAUCAAAUUCUAUCAUUAAUAAACAUUGAUACUUACAUAUAUACUUCUACUCGUGGCAUUGAUAGAUAGUAAUAGAAGUCAUUUUUGUUAUUUUUAAAAAUGUUCCUAAAUUUUAAAGUAUUUAUUUAUAAUUUGAGUUUUAUGAAAUUUGAGUUAUUGAAUUUUGGUGUAGAUAAAUUUAAGUAUUUUAAGUUAACAAAUAAUAAACUUUAAAAUAAAUAAAUAAACCGACGACUCAAUCCAACCUGACAUACCUGGACUAUUUUUGUUGUCAAUAUGAAAUUCGGGUUGGUUAAAAAAAUCUUAUCAACCCAAUCCAUUACAUCCUUAUAGAGUGAAGCAUUCAAAUAUCUUACCUCAACGUUGAUAGCACGAGUGUUAUAUAAGUUGUUUGACAUAGAUACUAAUAUUAGAUAUAACACAGUUGAAAUGAAUACUUUAUCGGGUUUAAGAGAGACUUAAUAUAUAAAAUUAUGAUCUAGACUUUAAUAUUUAGAAUAUUAAAGUUUAGAAAAUAGUUUGAAAUUUUGUAGGGGUUGGAUUAUAAGAUGAUAGAGUGGUUAAGUUUGUUAAUUAAAAUGUUUGAGCAUGAUUUGUUUUUUUAAUGAGUUGGCAAAUUUGGUAACUUAUGAUAAGAUUGAGAUAUUUUACUAAAUAUUUAAUACAUUUUAACUUACAAAUUUCAUUUGAUAUAUUUUUUAAUUCGUUCCAUAUUUAAAUUCAGACAAAUUAUAAAAAAAAUAGAUCAUUUAAUAAAAAUAUUGUGUAAAUUUUUGUUUGAGUGGUAAAGAGUUUAUCAAUUUUUAGAAAAAAAAUCUUUAAUUUAUAUAUUUUUAAAUGGGUAAACAAUGUAUUUCCAAUCUUUUAUUAUCUCAAAGUCUCUUUCAACCAAUUUUACAAACAUUUGAAAGGACUAAAUUUAAGAUUUAUUGAAAAUACAAAAAGUAAAAUUGAAUAGUUAUUGUCUCAUUUGAUAAUCAUUUUUUUUAAUUUUAAAAAAUUAAGUCUAUAAAGACAACUUUCAUCUAUAAAUUUCUUCAUUUGUCAUCUAUUUUUUACGGGUGGUUGAAAAAACUAAACCUAAAUUUGAAAACAAAAAAAAACUAGUUUUUGUUUUUAAAAUUUGACUAAAAAUUCAAUCAUUUAACUUGAGAAAUAUGCAAAUCAUUCUAAGAUAUAGAAAGGAAAUAGACUUGAUUUUUAAAAACAAAAAACAAAACAUGAAAUUGUUAUGGAACAAAAAUUUAAAAUAUAAAAAAUAUAGAGACUAAAAUUGAACAAACUCAAUAACACAACAACAGAAUUCGUAUUUCAUCAAACAUUUUAUUACACGACAUUGCACCAAAAUAUCCAAAUACAAGACGAACUUUAAAUAUUCUAUGGAAAACCAAAACCUAACGUAAUGAAAAUUAAAGAAAUGUCUAAACUUAUAUAGUGGGUUAGGGAGAACUAUAACCACUCCACAACACUAACCAAAAAAUUUCAAUUGUAAUCUCUUUUGGGCAUCAAAAUCAAACAUUUAAACCUCUCUUUUUCUUGGUGUGCCAAAUGAGAGAGAAAUUAAUCAAAUGAAUCGUUUGAUAUAUAAUCUUACUCCGGUAUGUAAAUAGAAAGUUUUGCUAAAAUAAAAUUACACGAAGAAAAUAAAUAAAUUUGUAAAUUUUGUAUCUUUAAAAGUUGAGCUAUAUUCAAUUUAACUUCUUUAUGUUUUGUGUUUAAGAUUUGAAGUUUUUUUUUUUUUAAGAUUGGAGAAUGAUUCCAAUUGAUUCAUUUGAUUUUUUUUAUCACUAAUUAACAAUGAUUGUUAAAUUGAUGAAUUUAUUAGUUGAUUUGAUUAAUGUAAGGGUCGAGACCAGCGUUUUAGUUUUAGUAUUGAAGGAACAAUUUCUUGUAUGGCAAAUAUAAAAAAGGGUUAUUCCAUCUCAUCUAAUCAACAAAAUACUUAUCGAUAGAAAAUACUCAUUUUUCUCGAUUUCAAAUCGAGAACUUGCAUUGUGUACAAUGAUAACAUAAAAGCAAGAGAUUAUCACGAUUUUAAUUAUACAAACACAACAUUAUUCAGCGAGUUUCCUUUCAAGCGAAUAUCUUGCUAAUAUAAUUGAACUAUGAAUGAGUCAGCUCUAAGAUUAAACAAUUUGAAGAUCAGUCAAGUAUGGAAAGACAUAAAUCAUUGGUGACAACACCAUAAACAAUGUCGUGGUGAUGAGGUACGAAGAAAGGUCAAGCAGUUGUCAGGAAAAUCGCAACACCUUCAUACGGCGAUCAUGUAUGAAGAAACUUCGAUGCGAAGACGACGAUGACAAGGAGAGAGGGAAAACAUGGAAUACAAAUAAUCAACCAUUGUUUAUUACUUUUCAUUUCCCAGACCAUUAGAAAGAAAACAAUUCCUAAUUAUUACACAGCAUCUAAGUUACAAUCUAACCUCUUGAAGCUAAUGUAUAAAUCCAUAUAUGCUAAAGAAACAAAAAAUAAUAAUAAUAAUUAAAGGGGAACAACUUUGUGGACCGAAAGACUAAACAAUUUGUGAUGAUAAGCAGAAAAUUCUGAAUUGAGAAGGUAAGGUUCAGUUGAGAAAAUAUACUUUCCUUUCCUUUCCUCGCAUGUGGAAGUGAAUUGAAAGGGAGAGUCUGUUUUUGCUGAACCAGCUUUUGUGGAAGAUUUUUCAUGAUUGCAAGGAAUGAGAAGUCGGCGGAAGGAUCGUGUUCGCUAACUCUUCGUUCACCUUCACCGGAAGAGGUGGCAUCUGCUUCAUUACUUCCGGCAUUUCAUUUAAGCUACAAGCAUGAAGAUUGAAGAUAAGUUAGAGCAAUUUUGUUUGGAAAAUUCUGCUUCAAUGAAAACUCUCAUCAAUUCACAAGGAUAAAUCAUACAAAUUUGCAGUGAAUGUCCUACUCAAGACAUGAGUAAAUGAAAAUUUUCGGGUUUUAAUGCUAAAAAUCCUGACUGCUACUACGGGGAAGAACUCCUGCAACUAGGUCGAUUUUACCAAGAGCUAGUACAAUUUGAGCAACCUACACCUCGAAACUAAUUUAUGAAACCAAAAACAAACUGUUAACUUGUAAAAGAUUUUGGAAGAAACUCCUAAUUUCAAUCCUGGCUUCAAAAUCAGAAGUUAAGAAGGUAAAAUUAGUUGAUUCUUGAUAUUAACUUGUAGCCUUAUCAGACAAACAAUAUUUUAAGAAAGGAAAAUUUCGUCCCCAUUGGACAAUCCUGGUCUCAACCAACGUAUAAUCAACACUUCUAUUAAUUUCCUCUUUGAACAAUAAAUACUCUAACUAUUAUCACCCCCCAAAAUAUAUACACACAAUUUAUUUAUUAUUUAUAAUUAUAUUUAUAUAAUGAAAAAGCCACUAAUUGAUUUCUGACACUCAUCUUGAGUCAUCAAGCUUAACUGAACCAGAAAACUUUGAAGGUCAAACUUCAAGAAGUGUAGACUUCUAAAUUUCCAAAAGAAUCUCCACUCAAUUUUGUACAAAGAAGAUAUUUUUCUAGCCCAAGACUAUCUUGGGCUUGCAAGUGUUCUUUGUAAAUUCUGCAAAUACUAUUGUUUGUCUAUGUGUAGAGCAAAUGCUUUCUUUCACUAUUUUCCCCUUUAUUUACUCUGACAGUUUCUCUUUCCAAAUGUGUCUUGGUCUUGGCCUUCUAGCUCUAAAGAGCUGGUUGAACUUUCACGGCAGGAACAUUCUAUAGUGGCAGAGGUUGAAUGAGAUGAUCGAUUGACUUGGCUUCUAUGUUGUUAUAGAGUCUUCAGGUCAUCCUUGAGUCUGACUUCUGGGGCAUCUUUUGAUACCUUGAUCUGGUCUCCUUUGGUUUGGUGGUCAUGAUUAUUUUCGUCAAAAGAUUUUAAUGUCACUAGUGAUUGUGUCCUUGUAGCAGUGGAGUUGAGUCUCAAAACAAUUUAUUCUUUGGUUUCUCUUUUAGCUAAGCUAUUUGGGGUGGAUGUGCUCUUUUGGGGUGGUUGCUCCCUCAAGUUCGCAUAGUGGUGCAUAAAGCUUGAUUGAAUUAGUCGUUUUAGUGCAGGAGAUCGCCAACAGCGAAAAAUUUGGAUAGUCGCUUGACGUGUUGAUAUACAUCAUCUUUGGCAGGAGCAUAACCUUUAUGUCCAUAGUGCUACUUUACUUCCCUCAGGGUAAUUUGUCAGGCUAUUCAAUCGGAUUGGUUCUACUGUUGUUCUACAUGGCUUGAUGCCUCCACUGAGGGACUCAUACAGGCUUUCUCCUUGGGAUCUAUUUUUUAGGUUAUAUUUUUUUAAGUAUUUUCAGUGAGUUUGAUUAAAGGGGGAAAAGCAAGUAUUCAAUACCUGCACUUUUUGGAUUACUGUGGCUGUAAACAUGCUAUACAAGAUAAAGACGUAGAUUGUUCUAUUUUUUUUCUUUUAACGAAAACCAGCCUCUUUAUUAAUGAUAGUAAAUGAGACUUAAGUUUAAAAUCAAGAGUAUUAUACUAAGGAAGAAUACAGUCUAAAGUGAAAACUUAGGCGACAAAAAGUGAGGCAACCUAAAAAACGAAAUCAAACGGAGAAGUAUCAAACAAAAUAAAGCCUAUCGAAGACGAAACAUUCGUAGAAAGCUAAAUAAAAAGCAAAACUUGAAAACUCUCUCAAGAGGAGCCCAUUCAAAUAUAAAAACUUUGUACGAAUCUUCAAGAUGAGAGGAGAAAGAGAAGCGCCAAAGAGAAGCAACGGCUGCCUCAAAACUGUCUUCUUAAUGUCAUCCAAAACCUAGAGUAACUCGAAUAAAUUUUCCAAAACAAACAGAAACUGAUUCUAAAAGAACUCCCCUUUGAAGACGUAGAUUGUUCUCUUACAUGAUGUGCACUGCAACGUAGUAUCAGAGCAUGGCUGAAAUCUCUUAGCUGAAUUUCCUUUUUCUGUUUUCUUCAUCCGGAUUUCCUUCCAUUGAAGUUUGAAACCUUCUCUCAACAGUUGAAAAUCACCCUUGUUGAAGCCUUAUAUAGCCAGUGUUUUCUGGUAUUACCAAAUUGAAUCUUGAUCAAUAACUGAUAAUAAUAACCCUGAUCAGCUGGGUCUGAAUCACUUCUAGACAGCACCUGCUCCAUAUUUGAACAUAAUAGGUUUGAUUAUUGUGUUGCUACGUUGCUUCAUGGGAAUUGUAUGUGACAUCAAGUCUCACUGAAAUUUUCUGGUAAUGAGCAUAACCAUUGGUGCUUUAUUGAAAUUUCUUCCAGUGUCAUGAUUUGCUUCAUUGGAAUUUCUUUUGAGACUUACCUUCUUUGAAAGGGGAACGAGUGAAAUGACAAGUAAACUUAAUAUUAUCUCAACAAUCUAAACGGGUGUGUAAUGGUUGGUUAUAUGCAAUAUACAAACUUCAUGGCAUCUCAUAGCCCAGACAUAGCGGAAGAAAUCACUCUCCUAUCAAGAUCCAUCCAAGUUACUUUGCCCACUCAACCAAUCUUGGAGUUAUUGUCCUAUCGAUUAAAUUGAAAAAAUUACGUAUAGUUCAAUUGUGGUAAAGGCAAAGUUAAUGACAGCACAGGUCCUGUGACUCAAUCAGUACACAUCAAUCCAAAAUACAAAAUCUGGUAGGCAGAAAAUAAUAUGAGAACGUCAUGACUAAUUAAUUCCAUUAUUAAUUAAAUCUGCAAGAUCUUUGGUUGCUACCAAACCACCCCAACCACCUACGAAAUCCAGAAUGCAGGCCACAGAACCUCCUUCGAUUUAGAAAAUGGAGCAGAAUGUUUCCAGAUUGGGAGUAUACUCCAUAAUUGUAGACUGAGGUAGGAGGAAAAACUUUUGCCACAAAACCUUCUAAUAUUAGAUCUUACCUAAUGAGAAAUCCUAUGCUUAAGCACUCUGUCAAUGGUUGGGAAGCUUGUAUUCUCUACUUUCUGUUGAAAUAUAUCAGAAAUAGUGAGUGGACAGAAACCUUGCAUUUUUUAGGCAACUACUACACUCAAACGGAUUUGCAGUAAAACAUUAAGGAUGGAUUGGGCAAGGGACACCCUAUCUCCUUUAGAAAGAACGCAUUUCCAAACAUCCAACUUGGUCCUCGAUUUAUGGUAAGUGGCUCUUAGAAUUAUCAUCUACUAUAGUUUCCACCUGACGAGAAGCUUAGAAAAUUAUGGGCGAUUGUUAGCCAGAUAGGAAAUCUGCAGCCCAAUAUUGACCUCCUCACCAUACUCACAUUGAUCCCAAGCAGGGAUGUUUCAGCUAGACUUGGGGAAAGUUCUGCUCCAGACAAAAAUAACAUUAAGAUGUACCUGUGUAUACUAUGAAUUUUCUACUGCCACCCCACUUUGAUCAUCAAAGCUGAAAAAAGGCCGAUAACUAACCUCUCUAGUCUUCAUGGAAGAGAAAUUAAGGAACAAAUCUUCAAGCUUCAUUAAUAAUCUUAGACGAAGAGCUUCUCAAGAUCUUAAGUUUGCAAAAACUAGAAAGCCACAUGUUCUCAUCUCAUGAACCAAAUCAAAUCCAUCUAUUUCCUAAGAGCCCCAAGUUUACAAUCAAGCACCAAAACCAUUUGGCUAGAAGGCCCUUAUUUCAUUCCAAUGACCUGUGGAAGUGAAGACCCCUUAAGCAUAGGGAGAGGAACAAUAUUUUAGUUCAAGGCUGAAGUCACCCAUUUUAUUGGCUUCUUCACAUAUUUAAAAUAUGCUUGUGCAAGUAAGCAGUGUCAUUAAAAACUAAUAGGAAAUAAGCGAAUGAGUGCUGCCUUGGAACAACAAUUCCUACAUUUGGCUAUUUAUUUGUUAUCUGUGAGUUAGGUUCCCAUCAGGGAAGAACAUAGGAUUAUCUCCUAAGUAAAGACCUAUAUAAGAUGCUGGAAUCAAAUUAACUUUUCAACACCAUAACAUGGCUAUCUUGAAAGUAAAAGUUCACCAAGUUAAAGUUCAGCUAGGAGAAUUAAAAAUGAAGUCUCCUACUAAAUGUAUAUUAACAGCAUGGAUUAUUUGUGCAAUGUGUCCACGUGUUUGUAUGACAUUGAGCGUUCUUUUAUCCAAUUGUCUUUCGACACGCAUUUAAAAUGUUUUCAAUGUUACUAAAGGUACAUUGACAAGUAAGAAUAUUUGGAAAACCUAAGGAGACCCUUACAAAUAAGGGAGGAAAGUAAGCAAAAAACCAGUCUAAGCUAAUGUUAUUUUAAACAUCCAUUGGUUAGGACCAAAAGGAUACUCCAACUUCACUAGAACAAACCCUUUUUCAAUAUCCGUGAGCAUCCAAACCAGCUUUCACGCACCUCGACUAAUCUUAUGAGACAACCCCGCCUAACACUACAAUAUUUGGGUAUCAUGAAAACUCCUAAGAUAUUAAAUCCUAGGUACAGUUGAACUCAUUCCCUCUAAGCCUUUAUUAAACUCAUGCUCUUUAUUUACUACUAGGUCAACCCACAAUGGUCUACUCAAACAAAUAUCAUAUAUUAUAAAUGAACUUUCCUAUUAAAUGGACGUUAACAAAGUAAGAAUGUUUGAGAAAACUGAGGGAAGCGCAGCUUUUACAAUAAGGAGGAAAAAUGAGGAAAAAAGUAGAUUGAGAUAAUGUUACUUACUCGUUCAUUAUUUUGAGGAUGUUGUCCCGCGUUUGGCAGAAGAGACUGAUAUUAUCUUGUAUCUACAUAAAACAAAAUGUUAUUAGUUCAAAAUUAUGUUGUCCACUCUUAUAAAAGAACAUUAGGUUGCCUGGCAAGAAAUCAUUAAAAAAACAGUACACCUCAAUUGCCAUUCUUAAAUAAUGAAAUAUUUCAUGUUUUUAGUUUUAGAACGAAUGUGUUUGAAUGGACAGUUGUAUAUCAUGUUACAUAUAUAUACAUAGAAACACAGACAUGAAAGGCUUGGUAAAAUGCAAUUAAGUGAUUUAAAGAGGGAGGGGGCAAAUAGCAAAGAAGAAGAGAAUCAGUGCUCGCUCACAGAUUAUAAUAAGCAUCAGUAGGCCACAUAAUUUCACCAUCGAGCAUUUUUGAAUAAGAAAACAUUUUUUUACUGAAACCAAGGGAACACAGGGGACAUGAGGAGUCUGCCAACAAAUCAAAGGGACCAGCAAGAGUUUCAUUCCUAACUGCUAAGCAAAUCUUUUGGGGGGUUGAGAAAUACAAAAGAGUUUCACAGCAAUUACACGAUGGAAGUAAAAGUUAAAAAGAAGUCUAUAGAGUGAUUCAUAACCAACAGAAAGUGCAAAUCUUGCUGUCCAGUACAGAAGUUAAUAUAUCAGAGAAGGCUGAAAGAAAAAUUACUCAGUAUCAUCAAGAAAUAGAUACAAAUCCACAAUUAACACUACGUGAGGUAUGGUGGGACUAAAUUUUUGCUUUAACUUAAAAAAUUUUGCUUCAACUUAAAAAUGCUAAAACAAUAUCCAGACAACCAAGUACUUCACCUGAAAAGAUGCAAGAUUAGAAGAAAUUUGAUUCAUUGCAUGUGCAUUCUGUUCAAGAAGCUCUCCAGUUGUACCACCAAUAGCUGAAAGCAUCACAAAGACCAAAUGCAAAUGUUAUGCACAAAAUACAGUAGUUUCAAAAGAAAAGAUAUAUAUACACACACAACUAUCGUUGAGAAAAAAUGAAAGAAUACACGGCAUACAAAAAACAAAACCCACAAAAGGCAGUGUGCCAGCCUCAACUAGAAAGGGGCUCUAGCUAAACAAAAUGGUGCCCAUAUAAUUAUUGCAAACGAUCUUCAACGGAAGCGCAUAAAGAAACAUGAAAUGGUGCCUAUAGAAUAAUUAUAGAAGAUUUUUGAAAUUGAAGUGCAGGCACACACACUAAUAACCACUUACAUCAAAAAAUGAAAGAAUGCAAGAAUUUUAGAAAAGACAAAAUGGUGCCUAAAGAAUAAUUGCAAAUGAUCUUCCAAAUGGAAGAAAUAAAGACACAUGAAAUUAAUGAAAGAUAAAAAAUUAUUAGGAUCCCUCUCCAACCCUCUAAACGACUUUGUUGUUCCACUCAUCCCAAAGAUCCCAUAAAUCACACACCCCAAAUAGGCCCUUUUAGUGAAAGGGCAGAUGGAGGAGGAACUUCCAAAUCAUAUCACUAGUGUCCUCCCCCAAGCAAGCAAAAACCAAGAAAUGAUUUUGCAGCCACGUCACAAACUUGUAUGUCCAAAGAAUGUGGUCAACACUUCCUAUGCCUUCGAACAGAGAAUACAAUAAAACGGGCCAGCUAUGAGGGCAUCUUCCUUACAAGUGGAUCCAUAGUGUUAGCUCUUCCAUGUAGAAUUUUUUAGGCAAAGAAUUUCAUUUUCUCGGAAUCUUAAUCCUCCAACAAAGCAGACUAUCAAAAUAAAGUGAAGCCAUCAGAGUUUCCCCAAGCCCUAAAGCAAACUUCAUCCAGCCAUAACUCUUCCCAUCCCAGCCUUUCACGCUCCUCCAGCACUCUACACCAAUCUGCUAAUGAGAAGAAAAACUCAAUUAAUCUAAGAAAAGGAGGCACAUUUAAAACUGUAACCCAGCCCCCAGUGAACUCUAUCCUUCUUCCUUCCCACCAAUUGGAAACUCCAUGGCUGCACUUGAUAAUCUUCUUGCUCAAGCUCCGAACCUCUACUUAUCCUGCAAAUCAGCCUUUCUUCCAUAAAUGCACACUGUAAGAUUCGCACAAAAAGGCCUAAAAAACAAACUGAAAUUUGACUUUCUAUUCUAUCAAAUUCAUAAAGAAAUCCCAACUCAACCUGCUCCUGAGUACUUCCACAGUAACCGUCAUUUCUCAAUCAAAACCAAUUUUGCAAUCCCAGUCCGAAACCAUUUCCUCACCUUUCCAACUUUUUUAUCUUCCUCAACCCAUCUUUUUCCACCACCCCUCCUCAAAGCCUGAGAAUAAUCCAUCAGGCCCCUUGGCACCUCAUGGUCUUUGAUCAUUUUAAGUCUUCCACUGGGUUGUGCUAAACUGAUUGGUUCCUAAUCCUAGAAUAAUACAGGGCCUUCAAAAGACAAGCAAACAUUAUGAUAAGCAUUUAUACCUUCAUAACAUAUUGACAUGGUACAAAUUUUAGAGGAAAAAAAAGCAUCUCGGAUGGUUUAAACUGGAGACAAGCAUGGCAGUUGAAUACACCCUACAAUUUAUUACCUGCAUGUCCGAUAUUUUAUUUUUAUGAACGUUACCUAAUGUAUAUUAAUAGCGAAUCAUUAAAUUUACUCCCCCAUUUUUCACAUCAAGAGAAUGAAGAAUGAAAGCUGUAACAGCCCAAAACACGUAAUGGUGUAAACGAAGAAUGUAGAAACAAAACCUUUAUAUGAGACACCAUCAUCAUUGUCCAUAGGAAUCAUAGGCAUUCCAUAAGGAGGCACGUUAGGCCUUGCUGCAACCUGUGCUGACUUCAUUGAAGAGUCAGAUACUCUUUCCUGAAAUAAAGAAAAAUAUCAUUCCCCAGUCCUAAGACCAUGCCAAAAAUUAUGUCAAGACUUUCCAUGGAAGAAAUGGACAACUUUCCAUACAACUUACUAUUUAUUGUACCAAUUUACACUCUACUUCAAAUUUUGUUUGGAGAAUACAGUGUGAGAUUUAAAAUUAUUUCAAUUAAACUCCGAAUUGUUGUAGGUGAAUCAAUUUAAACCCUUUAUCAAUAUUACCUUCGAAAAACGCCAUUUCGUCAAUUCCUACACACGUGUGGACUUCAAAUGUCAAGUUAACAAAAUGGGCAAUCAAAAUUGAUGCAUGGAUGGGACGACUUUCCAAAAAAAGCAUCUUGAGAGCCCAUAUUGAUUUGCUUAUGAAAUUUAAAGCUUUAAUUGGAAAAUUGCAAGUCUGACCCAAUGUUUGUUUCUUUUUCUUUUUCUUUUUUUUUAAAGUUAACUUUCAUUACCAAAAGGAAAAUAUAAGUCUCACCUAAUGUUUAUGCAAACAAAACAAUAAUGGAGAAGAAGAAAAACCAUUCAAUUAAAGUUUCCAAAAUGGUUAGUUGUUUACAAAAUGAAUGUCUAAAGUUGAUGCAUAUGCUGCAAGUAACAAAUAAACAAUUGAACAAUAAAAAGAAAACUAAGAAGUGAACCAAAGAGAAGCAGGGAGACCAUAAAAUGCACCAAUAAUUUACACAAUACCUUUAAUACCUUUUUAUCUUUGUUCUUUCUUGUUAAAUUGUGUUCUUCCUUCCUUCUCUUGCUAUUUUCCUUUUUCUGACCCCCAAAGAAAAAAAAGUAAACCAAAGAGGAACAUUAAGUGCAUAAAUAAAAUUAAAACCUGAAAACGAUGAUAUAAAAGUAUAAAAAAUGUCCAUAAACGAUGAUAGAGUGCCUUUAUGCCAUAUCCAAAUACAGACUAAUAAACCACAUGAAAAAAGUGAUUUAAAAAAAUGUUUUAAUGGGUAAGCACUUGCUAACUGCUAGUAUCAGGAAGAAAAAUUAUUCUUUUCCUUUGGGUUAUAGAAACAGAACAAUCACGAUUACAAAAUGCAUUGACAUUCAGACCAUUUAAAGGCAUGCAUUAGAAUACAAAUAUAUGUACAUAUGUACAUCUGUAGGUAUGUAUAAAUGCACUUAAAUCUACUUUUCUUUUGUUUUGAAAAUGAAACGAGCCUCUUCGUUAAUAUAAUGAAAUGGAAACAAGAACUUCAUGGAGCAUCAAUCACAAAAUUGUGCCACUCUUAUAUGGAUAUUUCUUUACGAAGGAGGUGUUUGGAGAUUGGAAUGUAAUCAGAAUCAUUGGAAUCAAAGGAGUGUUGGAAAGCACAAGUAAUCGAAGACGAAACGGAAAUGAGAUCGUAUAGCGCAAAAACAGUAAGAAAUAGAGUUAAUAUUAAAAACUAUCAGAAUGGAAUGAGUUUCGUAUUACAAAUCGUACCAAAACACAUCCCAUGGCUAACCAGACACCCCUUAAUAGUAUUUCUGUCCAAUUACCAUGCUAAUGGUAUGCAUGAUUGCAAGUUAAGUAGCAGGAAACUUAUCAAAAAUUUAUACGAUAAUAGAAGCAAGAAUUGAGGAAAAUAACUCACGUUCAUCCAUCUGCAACGCAAAGCAACAUCUCGUACAGUCUUAUUUGGUAGUUGCAUUGCAAUCUUUGCAUACCGAAUAACACUAGACUCUGCGGCAUAUCUGUGUAUAAACCAAACUAACAUCAUUCACUAAAAAACUGGACCACCAAAAAUAUGAUAAGAAGGUUAGUUAGGUUAAAAGGACAAUAGGAAAGUAAUGAUAAUAAAACAAUGCACAGAAGGCAGCAGUUCAACUGUUCAAGUAUGACCUAUCUUAAAAAAAAACCUGUUCAAGUAUGACCUUUUGUCCCCUUUAAGAAACAUUAGAAAAUGAAGAGAGGAAGAAAGGAAGAUGGAAAAAUAAAAGAAAAGAAGCCUCCAAGAUAGAGUUUUAGCCAAGAGGCAGCUUCAUCUUCACAGUCUGGUGUCUGAAACAAUUUCCUAGCAGUUAGAACUUAGAAGUUCAUUAAAUUAUUAGAAACUUUAACUGUUCUUCAUUUUUCCUUUUUCUUUUUUUCUAACAAGAAACAGGAAUAAAUGUUAAUCACAAAAAAAAACAGCCUAGAGAGGCAGGAAUUCCCUCUCCCAAAAUAACUAAAGCACCAAGGUCUCUCAAUUGCGGAGGAUUUGAUCAAAGCCAUAAUUCAUGCAAGGUUGCAGAGUCGAGAAAUGAGGUGGACUUAUCUUCACGACACACUCUCCAGAUACACAUCAACAGAAUCCUUUUGGACAGCAACUUUGAGAAUGGCUUUUAACAAAUGAAAAACAUCUUAGGGAUCCUCAAAGUCAUACGAGGAUUCAUAGGAAGCAUGGUCUCAUAAUUCCAGGAGCCAAGAGCACAAAAUAUUCAAGUAGAACCUUUUUUUUUUUUGAAAAGGAUAUGUGUCUCUUUAUUAAUAAAGAUAUAAUGAGACAAAAGCUCAUUGUACAAGAGAGAUAUACGAAAUUCAAGUAGAACUCAUUUUACCAAUUAAAUGGUAGAACGUUUAAGUUAGAAUCUUCUUGUGCUUGUUUUGGCCACACUAGAUCUACAAAGGCAAGAUCUUUCUCUUUAUAUUUGUGCGAGUUGAGGAAACUUGCACAAACCAUGCCUAUUAUCAUGAGACAACCACCUAACCAUGCUACAUUUCAAGAUAUUAAAUCCUAAGUGGAGGGCCAUCAUGCCUUGAACUCAUUCCAUCUAACUCCUUUAUUAUAUUUAUGGCUCUUUUCUAAAUGGAAUCGAUAGAAAAUAUGAAAAAAUACAAGGGCAUGCAAAGAAAAAUAAUCCCACAAAAAGGGGGGGGCCUUUGUGAAAAGAGACUCCAACUAUGAAAAUAACAUCUAUAAAAUAGUUAUAGGAUUGACCAUUAGGUCAACUCAUAGUGGUUUAAGGUGCAAGAAUAAUUGUCUGGACUAAUUUCCCACAUAGUUUACCUAACAUUUCCUUGCCAACCCUAGAUCUAGAUAUAAACAGAGUUCUCAAGUAGGAAGUCAUUUCCAACAAGAGGCUCGGGUAAAUUCCUUAUGCAAGCAGGUUCAUACACAUUUGCAGGAGAAGAGAAAAAUGGGGAUUUCUUCCUAGUAUCUUGUCUUGUAUGUUUAUAUUUUUCUAUGAGGGAGGGAGACAAUAAAAGAACCUUCACUUUUGGAUGUAGGAGUUGAAAUUAAUUGUUAGUCAUUAGUUAUUUGACAGUUAGUUAGUUUUACCUACUGGUUGGUUUCUUUUUGUGAACUAAUCUCCAAAUCUGAUUUUCUAGCUCCUUCUCCAACCUUCCACUAUUGUUUAUGAUAAAGGACCGACUUGCAACUUUAACUAGUGUAGAGAUAUCUUUUCCAAGUUCCAAAUUAACGUAAAUUCAAGAGGAUCAGUAGACUUGUACCAAUAUUUCAAUGAAAAGCAUCCAUUCAUCAAAUUUCCGAUACUUUAAGUUUCUUCUCAAGUUUUCGAUUUAAGCAGCUAGGAUCCUACACCACCGUCACUGAUCUUUCUUUAGAACAAUCUACGUCAUAAACACUUGGGUAAAGGACACAAAAAAGGAGUGUAGCACCUACGAAUCAGAGCUCAUCAAGUUAUUUUGCUUUGAGUCUCUUUUGCAUUUGUCCUCACAUAGUCAAGGGUUUUGUACUGCUUGUUUUAUUUUGGUCUUAUGAUGUAUCAUUUUGUUGUAGUUCUUCCUUAGCUUGAGAUGUUAUUUAGUCUUUGUUCGUUUGUUCAGAAAUGAUGUGGACACUAGGGGGUGUCAUUUGAGAUGUCUAAGUGUGCCUCUAAUCCUUAGUUUUUUAUGUCCUUUAUAUAAUUCUUUUGUACUUUGAGCAUUAGUCUCAUUUCAUUUUUAAUGAAGAGGCAUGUUUUCGUAAAAUUAAAGAUUAAAAAAAAAAUGACUUUGAAACAUUGGCAUAGAUAUUUUUUAACUUCCAAACCAAUCACAUUAUGGCUCAUUUAAGAGAAAACAGUAAAUGGUAUUGUUUCUGCACAUAUCAAAUCUGAAGCGGUUGCACCUUUUAGCUUUCAAAAACACCUUAGAUAUCCCUAUAAGGCUGAAUCCAGUUUACAAUCAUAAGUCAAAUAAAACUCUUUAUGAUAGCAUCCAAGCUUUUUCCUAAGCAUAUGGAUUCCUUUCUUUCCUGUAACGUAAAACUUAGUUUUAAAUCACACAACUUUGGCCUUCACAUUAAAAACAAAGGCCAUCCCUCAAUAGAAACUUGAACAUCUUUGUGCGGUUGAAAACUGAGCCAAGAGAAAUUGAAGAAAUAAAAUCAACUAAGAAAACAUUGAUUAAAAAAAAGCAACAGACAUGACUAUUAUCAGAUGCCGAUGUGGUGAAAUUCAGAUAACAGGCAAAUAAUGGAAAAGAACAGCGAGAUGCUAUUAGUUCUGACCUGAGACUUCAAAAGGUCAAAUUCCACAUACACACAUAAAUCGUUAGCUACAAAUAAUCUCAUAUAUUUUCACAGCUGGAUAAAAACCAGCUCGGUCCACAAAUAUAGCCGGUAUGCUUAGGGAAUGUUCAAAAGAGGAAUUUUAAGAGACGGAGAGAAAAAGUGUAAAAAUUGUUCGUCAAGUACAAACCCCAAAAGCCUUGUGGACUUACUAGACACAUUCAGGGCCUUGUAAAACACAACUCCGAGGAACCAAUCUCGUAAUCUAACCAUUUAAAAAUGAAAAUUGCUGGAAAUUAAAGGGAAAAGAGCUUGAACAAGAAGUACAAAAUCAAUUUCCUCCAUGGAAGAAGAAAAAAAAUCAACCAAAUCGCUUAAUUCAAGCAACUUCCAUAAACGCAAGAAGCUAAAAACCAUACAUCAAAAACAAAAAGGGGAAAAAACUCACUUCUUAAGCCCUUCUUCCAGUGUGACCUGCUCAUCAGAUGUCCAAUCCGUAGAGAUGCCCGGGUUAUGCUUCAUAGCAAGAGCCGAACUCGAAUUAUCCGCUGCAGGCACAGGUGUCGAAUUACCGUUGCUGGGGUUCCCUCCAUCGAAGGAAGACGACGGUUGGCCAGCUUCUUGAUGGUUCCCAGAUGGGUUAGCCAUCAAAACUCACAACAAUUCAAACGUUUUUCCAAUCCCAAAUCCAAAUCCAAUCAAAACCCACCUCCUAAAACCACAUAAUUGACCGUUGGCUCCCGCCAAUUCAGAUUAUUUCAACAAAAAUCAAUGAACCCAUAAGAAAAAUGACUAAAACAAAAGCUCAAAAAUGAAAAUUGACGAUAGAUGGGUCAAUCAAUGAAGAAACAGGAAAAAAAAAAAGAAGAAAAAAGGAGGGAAAAUGAGUGUGGAAGAUUUGUACGGAUUAAGACUGAAGGGAGCUCGGGUAAAGAAGAAAAUAAACUAAAGAAAGUUGCAGAAAAAUAGAGAGAGAAACGAGACCGAUGUCUGUGUAUACAGCAAUUGGAGAGAGGGUUUGGAGGUUUGACGUCGGAAAGUGUCAACAUAUUCGUAAGCAAAGCAACAUUACAUUUCUUCCUUUUUUUCCCCUUUUUUUUUUCUUUUUAAGUUCCUUUUUCCUUCUUCUUUCUUUCUUUCUUUCUUUCUUUCUUUCUCUCUUUUUCUCUCUUUUUCUUCCUCCUUUUUCCUUUCUCUAUAAUUCCUCAAAAAAUAAAAUGUUAUAUUAUCAUCACACUUAUUAUCCUUUCAAAUUUUAGUCCAAAAAUACUUUGCAACUGUUUCUAGUUCGUUCAUCCAAACGUCUAAUCACAAAAUCUAAUUUUUUAAAAAAAAAUUCUAUUUAUUACUUAGUUUGAUUUUAAUUUAUCAAUUUUAUGUCAAACCAAUUUAUUUACAAACAUAUAUCACACUCUAUAUAAGAUUUGUUAUAUUUAUAAAUAAUUUCAACAAUUUUGUUAUUUAAAACAAAACUUUCCAUUCUUAUAUAUAUUAUCGAUUUAGUGUUUUAGAAUGAACGAUUGCUCAACAUGUAUUAGUGCAUAUUAGCCAUAUAUGUUUAGUGUUUUAGUUAUCAAAUUUCUUAUAAACAUUGUCAUUUUGUAUAUUUAUUUUAUUAAAACUGGUUAAAUAUUAAAAACAAAACAACAUAAUUGUCAAAAAAAAAAAAAACUUCUAAUUCUAAAUAUUGAAAAACUAUAUAUGAAUUAAAAUUGAACCAAUUGUUUUUUUCUUUAAAAAUUAACAAAAUUUAGAUCACAAUGGGCAAAAACUACCCUAAACAUAAAUAAAAUAAAAUUACAAACAAAUUUAAAAAGAGAAAAAAUAAAAGAAGAAAUCUUUUUUUUUGUAUAUGCUUUUAUUGUUUGUCAUUUUAUGGAGGCUUUUAAAUAGUUAGUGAUAGAUAUUUACAAUUUUGCAGUAUGGAACUUUGUCUCCAACGAAAAGGGAUUCUCUCAUCCUUUAUCAAAUGUCUAUUCUACCCCCUAAUUGCUUCCUAAUUUUUAUUCGAGCCAAUUUUAUAUUCAAUCAACGAGUCACUGAUCAAAAUCUAAAUUUAUACGUAUUUAUCAUUUGUUGAAUCAAUUUUGUUAUAUUUUGUAAAAAAUAUACAGUUUAUAAUUUUUUUUCCUUAAAUUUUUUACUAAACUGUAAAUUUGGUUCACGUGAUUUAUUACAUCCUUAAAAUUAUAAACAUACUCUUGAAAUUUUGAUAUUCGUUAAAACUGUACUUCUAAAGGUUGCGUAUUUUUAUUCUUCAUCGAUGCUUAAUUAGUUCAAAUAUAGCAAAAAAAAAAAAAACUUAUGAAUGUAGCAAAAUUUGAUAAAAAUCUACAAUUAUAAUAUAUAUAGUUUGUUGAAUCACAAUUUUGUUAUAUUUUGUAUUAAAAAAUAUAUACUAUUUGUAAUUUUUUUUUUAAAUUUACUUCAUAUGAUUUAAUAUAUCCUUCAAAUUACAAACCUACUCUUUGAAUUUUGAUAUUUGUUAAAAUUGUAAAUUUUCGUUGAAUGUUUAGAAUAUUGUUGGAUGUUAAACUUAAAUUUAUAUUUAAAAUAUCUUCCUUUUCUUUUUUACUUUUUUCCAAUUCUAUUAAACAUUCCACAAAAAAAUAGCAAAAUUUUAUAAUUUAGUUAGAGCUUCUAAUUUAAUUGUCUAGAAAAAACCUUAAAAGUUUAAUUAUAACUCUAUUAUUAUUUUGUUUUUAUUGUUUAAUUUAAAAUGCAAUUGAUUUUUAAAUCGAUUAAUAAGAAAUAAAUAGUAAAAAUAUUGUAAACUAUUUACAGAAUAUAGUAAUUUUUAAAAAAAUUGUUUCUAUAUUUUCUUUUCUUUUUGGAGUAAAAAGUAAACUUUGAUUCACUUUUAUUAAUUUGAUUUGAUUUUAAAAGAGGCAAUUUGAAGUAAUUUGUUUGUUAAUAAAUUUGUUUUCCAUAAAUUCAAACUUUUAUAUAUAUAUAACUUGAAGGACUUAUCAAUUAUUGAAGUACAAUGCAUGUAUGGGUAGAAAAAAGUCUCAUAUGACACUUGUAAUUUUAUAUAUCUACAUUUUUUUUGUUUAUUUGUUUUUACGAAAAGAAUACCUUUUUAUCUGCAAUAUUUUAGUUUAUUUUUGAUUCGAUCACUUUUGUUCUUAAUAUUUCAAUAACGUUCUUAUAAAUAAUAGAACUAUUAGUCACUUACUACGAAAGUUGACAACUAAUUCUAAAUUAAAAUAUAUUAGCGAAGUACCUAAUUUAAUUUUGAUAGGAAGAAAUGGAAAAUAAAUGAAAAGUCGAGAUUUUUUCCCAAUGUAAAAUCAGUGACAUUUACAUCAUAAGAACUCUCUUUUUUCUUUUUAUCGAAAUUUAAUAGUUACAUCAUUAAUAUCUUAGUUUUAAAUCAGUGUAAUUGUCAUCUUAACCAUCUGUCUUUUAAGUCAUUAACGAUUCUGUUAGUCUAAUCAUCAUUUUUCUAUCACUAACCGUUUUUUUUCAAAAUUGUUUAAUUUUAAAACAUUCUGACCAAAUAUAAACUAAACUCAAAAUUUAAGAAUCAAAAUAGUAUUUUUUUUUUUCAUUUUCUAUUACAUAUAAUAAUCAUAGAGUAAAAAAUUUAUAAAAUUGAAUUUAUAUUUUUAUUAAUAUAAUUUAUAAAAUUGAAAUCUGUAUAUGGAUUUAUGAAUGAAAAGAUGAAGCAGUGGCUUUCUAAAGCAAUUCAUGUAAUUAGGUAAUUAGGUGAAGCCUAAUCAUUGAUAAUAUUAUUAUAAGAUAUUGACAUAAUAUUUAAUCCAUGAAUUUGCUGGCAUUAAUGAAAUAAAUACGAAAAAGAAUGUGUUUCUUUUUUCAAUGUAAUUUAUUAUUUUAGCAAAACGCCGCCCCCUUUUCUUCUUCCUCGAGCCGCCGCCGGAGCUUUUGUCCACAUGAAAUUCAAAUUUCUAAGCAAUUUGCCGGAGCUGAAAUCAAAUCAAAUCAAAUCAAGUCAAGUCAAAGGCGAGUUCAGAUUUAAGGGUUUGAUUACGUUUUGGAAAUGGAUUAAGGGUUGCGUUUUGGGGGGUCAAAUUAGGGCUUUCUAUAAAUGGGUAAAAUUAAAGCAAAUUGAGCCCUAGAUUCUCUAUGAACAGCAUGGGAGUAUUGAUUGUUGGAAGAUUCUCUUAAACCAUAAUAGAGAUGAAAAUCAUAUCCCCUAAACAAUUGCUCUUAAACAGUGGUUUCAAUUAGACUUCGUGGAUUUUCUGAUUCAUGUUUUAGUUACUUGAAAUUGUGUUCAAAUUUAAACAUUUGAAAAUGGUUCUUAACAUUUAAAAAGUCACCAAAAUGUCAAAAUAGAUUACUAUAUAAUAAACCUAAAUUUAAUUUUUUUUAUAUAGAAAAACAAAUUUGUUUGAUAAUCAAAUACAUAGAUAGUAUAGGAAUACAGAUUCAAAAUUCCAAAAAUCUCAACUUUGUUUCUAUAUUUGAUAUCUUUUUCUCUACAAAUUUUAUCCUCUUAAUUCCACUAAAAUAUUUGAUUGAGUCCCUCUGUUCACAACAUUUCUCAUGCAUUCUGAAUUCUCUUUCCAGAUUUAUUUACUCCUAAAAUUGUCUACAAAAUUUUGUAACUUUUAUUACCGCAACUCUUUUCUUCCAAGGUUGCAUGAGAUGCAAGAAUGUAAUCAAAAUUACUUCAAAGAAUGUAAUCAAAAUUACUUCAAAGAUGUUGGAGUAAACGAGAAAUUAAGAGUAAAACAAACGUGAAAUUGUGAAGCAUGAAAAUAGUAGAAAAAAGAGAUAAAAACUAAAAGAAAAUAAUAAGUUUUUUAUUACAAAGCAAGUCCAAACACAAUAUGCACGCCUUUUGUUUUCCGAGAGAAUUUUCACCACACACCGUAUAUGCAUAAUACGUACAUGAACUAUGUCAAUCACUUUUUUUUUAUGAAAAAAUUUAAACUUUUGCUAUACUUGAUACAUAUUACUUUAGACUAAAUUAAACUAGAAAGAGAGAAGAAAUAAAAAUGGUAAUUAAGCUGGGGAGGGGAGGGGAGGCAUAAAUAGAAGCCUAAACAUCUAUUUUCUUUUAUCAAUUUCACUACAAAAAAUAAGGCUAAAUUGGGAGUGAUUUUACAAUUGUAAACCAUUUUUAUCAUAUUCAAAACUACAUUAGAACGUAUAUUAAAUAAUUUGAAAUCAAUUGAAUAUUUAAGUUUACACUUUUAUAUGCUUACUAUUUCCGGACAAUCCAAAUCAAUUUUCAAUGAGUAAGUCUUCAAGUAAUUUUCAACAUGAUAAAAAUAAUCUCUUUUCAAAUCACACCCAAAACCAAUAUACUCCGUUUUGGAUCCCAUGUAAGUUUAUUCUAUAAUAGUAACAAUAAAAUCACCCCAAACGGGGGAAAAAAACUGUCCUAUUAAGGAGGCAAUGCAAAACAUUAUUCCACUAAACACUUGAACCUUGGCAAAUCUGUCUCUUCAAAUUGCUGUUGUGAGGGAUUUUUAUGUUAUACCAGCAAAAUGACAUAAUGAAAAUUUCUAUACUCCCUAGAAGGGGGAAAAGAAAAACUCAAUCUUCUAUUUGAUGGCAAAGCAAACAUAUGAACUCUCUAUUAUCUACCAGAAUGUAAUAUAGAUUAAUUGUUCAAUACAAAAACCAAGACCACUUAGCAUCUAGAAAAUAUGGAAAGUAGAGGUUAAUAUCUGAAUAUAUUAUAUAGUGAUGAAAUGCUGCCUUCAAUGGCAAAGAAAGAAUUGGCAAUACAAAUUCCUCUAUAGGAUGAAAAAUCUACAUUCUACUCAUUCUACUCACAGUUGACACUUCUUGGUGCACAAGUAACUUAACUUUUUGACCAUGCUAUUGAUUUUUCACCUAUUUCGCUUUUCUAACUAAAGCUAUCAAAAAUGAAAUGCACUAACUUCUUCCCCUCAGGAUGUAUAGGUUUCUAAGGUGCCAUCAGCAGUACAAUAAUUGAAGGAAAAAUGAUUCGAAAAUGAAAUCAAUAACCUUAAGCCUGUACAAUGAAUUCCAAUUGCUCCUUGACGACAAAAGCGAAGAUAUUUCUUUCUUCCCAUUUCAUAAUCUCUGCACUGACCUCACGAAAAUGAGGUAAAACGAGAGAGAAUGAGUCUAUUAGAAAUUAGAAUCUAAAAAGAGUAAUUGCAUCAAAACUAAAGAAUCACUGUGAAAGAUGUAUGUUUUACCAGAAAUUGGUUUGGGCUCACAAGCAAUAUAAUUAACAGAGGAAUAUUCACAUGAAUGUAAUUCUAUCAUUAUAUACGUUAAGAACACAGCAUUUAUACACUAAAGCAAAUAAGAAAAGCUUUCAAGAUUUGUUUGCUAUAGUUCUGAGAUGCCCAUAGGCUAUAGACAAACAGCUAGAUUUCUAGAUUAGUUUUGUAGAGCCGAGUGGUGGAAUCAAGGACGACUUUGAUGACCACCACUUGAAGAUGAAUCUAAAGUUGAAAGGAGAAAGCAAUCAAGGAGAGAGUCUCGCAUUAUAUUUUGGGGUUGAAGAACCAAGAAGGCAUAAUAGAGGGAUUGGUUUCUGCAGUGAAGGAAAAUUAAUUGUGGCAUAUGAUCAUCUAAACAAGCGCAAACGAUCCCUUAUUCAUCAUUGAAAGGUUUGGGAAACAAAACAAAUAGCAAGUGUUAUGAAAUAUAUAUUUAUAUUUAUAUUAUAUGUCCUUUAUUGUCAUUGUACAUAGUGUCUAUGAUUUAUUUUAUUCUCUAUAUAAAUAUGUAACUUUCCUUUGACUCAAUAUGAAUAAGAAAUAUACUUCUCUGAAUUCUAGAUUACAGCAAGUACAUUGCAUAGACGCUCGACAAGUUCUCUAUAAGUGGGAGUGAACUCUAGAUUUCUAUUUUUCACCCUCUCAAACAUAUGAGAGAGAAAAGGAAUAAUUAGAACUUUUAUUCAUUUACAUCAUGUUCUAUAAUAAUACUAUCCAUGAAUAUACAAAUUAGCAUGUUAACUGUAUUUAUUGUCCAAAGGGCGUUAUAAAUGCAGACAUUGAGAGUCAAUUGUAAAGUUACCAAUAAAGAAUCUGAAGGAGGCAGUCGCAUAAACCUCAGUUUGAAUCUUUGAACUGCCGAUGCAUUUUUCAUCAACUGUUUCAUAACAGCUAUUACUGUACUUUUGUUGCUUCGUAUAAAUGGUGCAGCUCUAGUCCUCAUAAUGAGAUCGGAGGCUUCCUUUUCUUGAUUACCUGAUACAAAAAGGAGCAAGUUUCAAAGUACUUCUAUAACAACUAUAGGAAAAGAAUCAUAUCAUAAAAAUAUAAACAUGAACAAUAAUAUGCCACAUGAGCAAUUCAAAAUAUCCUCCUAGUCGUUCACAAUUCAUUGUUUCCUUUCCAGAAAGAACAGGAAAAAAAAAAAAAACAUUGUGAUCACUGAUCACCAAAAAGAUCGUCAACUGGCAACGAGAAAAAAGAAUAAUAUAAUAACAUUCAGAAAUAUUAUAUUCUUUUGUAAUAUUAAUAAGAAAGAACAUGAACUUCUCCGUAAUAAAAAUUCUUCCUGAACUUGUGCUGAAUAAUAAAAAUCAAUCCCGGGGUCAAUGGAUGAUUAUGUAUCAUGUUGCUGCUAAAUUUAAUAUAAGCAAUCAACCAAAAUAAUUGAUUCAGUUUAUGAAUGGAAAAAUGUCAUUUUGCCCUUCAAGAUAAAAAAAGGGUUGAAAGUGUUGAUUUUAUGGAAUUAAUCUAUAUUUCAUUCAUUACUUAAUAGAGAUACAAGCCUAUAUAUAACCAUAGAGAAAUACACUUAAGGAAAUAAUAUCAAAUAAUAUCUCCAGAAUAAUAUCUCCUAAGAAUAAUCUAAUUAUAUUAAUAGAAAGCAAUCAGUGCGAUAAAAAAUGCUUGAUACAGCAAGAUUUAAAAUAAAAAAAACUUAAACCUGCAUUUCACCUUGGAAAUAUAUUUCUUCCGUAAUUUGAUUGCUGUACGUAUACAUCUUUUGACACUAAUCUUCAGCAUCUUAUCAUUGAAAAUCUGUCAAAUUAAAAUUGUCAAUGCCGGUAGACACAAAAUAGCAACUUGAAAUAAUUAAAAGGUUUUUUUUGUUUCAAAGUAAUUUUAAACUUCCAUAAGGAACUGACGUCAGAUAAUUAAUUUUUUUAUGAUCACAAACAUAACCAAACACAAAUACACACGAGAAAUAAAAGUUUAAACUCUAAGGGUACACAAUGUGCACAUAAACACAAAGAAGAAUCCCAAUUAGAAGUAAAUUAGGUUAAUUCAUUUUAACCAAGGAUAACCAAGAUUAAUAAGAAAUGACCCUACUUAUCCUUAACCCUACUACAUCGCGAUUACUGAAAGGAGGAAGAUAAUGCGGCUGGACAUCCCUACAAAGACGGUCUCUAACUUUAGAAAAAACUAUGUUGCUCCGGCUGUGACAAAAGAUGAUUUACCGGAUUCUUGCAAUCCAAAUUUUGUGAGCUUGAAGAAAUAUUACUAGUAGCCCAACCAAGCAAUCAGAUGCCUUUUUUUCUUUCUUUCUUCGUGGAAAGAAACGGAGCUUUGAUCGAGAGAAACAAAAGAAUUUAUAAGGAUAGACCCGAAAAAACCUCCAACAGAGUAGAGUUAGACUAGUUACAAAAAAAGACUUCAAUCCAAAAGAAAAUAAAAUCCUAGUUAUAAGAAGGCCUAGUGACCUAGGCCACCUCCCAAACCUUAACACAGGUCGCUUCAACUCCAUAGAAACUGUAAUGUUUCCCUCCCUAAGAAGAAAAGGGCAAAGAAGUUAGCUUGCCACAAAAAAUGUCUCCUUACCAUCCCCCACGCUUAGGUUGAGAGAUAUUUGGGAAGCUACUGCCUAGGAAUAGUAUACUCACCCACCUUCCUAAUCUUUGAGACCAAGGAAGACGACGUUUUCCUAUUCUUACUCUCAAAAUUUUAGGUCCACAUUUUUUUACCUAACUUGUAGGAGUUGCCUACCCAAUUUUGACCUAGGUUAAAAAAUAAGUCUUCACUUCAAGGAGGGGAGUGCCUUGUGGAGCAAGUCCUUUCUUUUCUCUUCACAAUUGUGUUCUGUGGAGUCUUACACAGCCCCCUAUCCACAUUAAAGCAUCAAAAUGCCAGGGAGAAACCCUUUCAACGCACAUCCCACACACUGCCGGCCCACAUGCGUCUGUUGCAUACAUGAUGCUUGCCUUGCCUACGGGGAAAUGCUCCCCAGCAUAAUUGCAUGUCCUGCAUGGGUGUGUGCCCAUGCAUAUUAAGCACAUCCAACAUCUAAUUAAAGAAAAACAAACGCAAACAACAAAAACAGUGAAGCCAAAUCAGAAAAGCAUCGUACUAAACAAUGUCCGAUAGAACUGUAUUAGGGAAUAGAUCUUAAACUAAUAUAUUUCGUUGAUGGCUAGGAAGAAAGAAUUGGUAACAUCUAUCAGAGUCAAUUAGCAUAAAAUAUAUUUAAAAGCACAUACCUUUAUCAGAUCAUCAAUAGAACGUGUUUCUCUAAUUAUCUUUUGGCGAUUCGUUAUAAGGAUUGCUGCAACACAAUAAACAGGAAGCUCAUCAUCACCUUGCUUAGUUGAUGAUAUUGCAGUGCACUUCUUCGUAGGAUCAUUCCUUGAACAAAGAUUCCUUGUCAAGCCACAAAAAGCAUGGGCAGAUGUUGAUCUCAUUCCAGCAUUGUCACAUGAUGAACGUUCCAAAUUUCCAUUAUUUGAUUGUAAGGUGUCUUUCGUGUUAAUGUUACUAUUGUUCAUGUCUCCUUCACUUAUUUCCACUUCCGAGCCUCUUGGAAGUUGUAAGGUCAAUGCUUCCAGACAACUACUCUCUAAAUUGUAAGCUCUUGAUUCGUCAAAAUCAGCAGCCCACAUCAUCUAAAUGAAGGACAAUUAGCUGUUAUGAUUGAAAUGGGAUUAUAGUUUCAAUUCAGGUCAGCCAUAAAUAAAAAUCAAUUUUCCCAAUGUUAGAUCAAUUUUAGCUAUAUAAAAAAUAACCCAAUUACAAAUUUAAGCAUUGUGGCGUAGUUUAUCUUUUUAAAGUGAGAGUUGAGUAAAGUGAGAGUUGAGAGAAUGUGCUAUGUAUCAUUCACCAAAUAUCAAAGAGCUUUUAUUCCUAAGCAAGGAUUGAAAUAUCCAUCAAUAUGUUGAUAUAUCUUCAAUAUCAAAUAUCAAUAGUUUAACCAUUAAGGAAAACUAGAAGUCCAAAGAAACUCAAUAUUCUAUUGUGUAUCAUUCAGUAAAUAUCUAUGUUUACAUAUAUAUGAAGUAUGAACACUCGGUAAAAAGGGUGUUAGCGUUACUUCCUAUACAAAUUGAGCAGUAUGUAAUAAACAAAGUAAAAGAAGGCUGAAACCAUUGAAUACUGCCAAAAGCCACAAGUUGGAAAUUGGAAUUUGUCACACCAAUUGCAAUUGGUAGGGGAAUGAAACUUGAGGCUUAUGUCUUUCAAGCCUCGAAGCAAGUAGAUAGUUUCAUACCUCUAUCUUCAAAGGGUUACGCCUCUUUUAAUGUGUCACAGGUGUAAGCAAGGCACCUUAGAGCUGCUUACCUCUAAUCCUACGCCUUAAAUAAUUUCUGCAACACUGGUAACCAAAUCCAAAAUAACCACCAUGGGUUGAUCUAAUGGUCAAUAAUGACAAAUGUAAUUUUUCUUUUAUUUUAUUUAGAUUUUUCUAAUAUUAGUUGUGCAUUCUCUGUAAUAGUUUCCUUAUUAGUCAGAUAUUUUAGCCUUAUUGGCAGAUAUUUUUGUAUAGGUAGACAGACUUUCUUGAAUGAAAGAAUACCUUCUAUGUGUUUGAUUCAAAAUAUUGAAGAAAUAACAUAAUAUUAUUUUUUCUCAAAUUUCAAGUUGGAGCAAAGAUAGCAAUGAAUCCAGGGGUAAAACCCAUGUUCGCCUCUUUUCCUUGUUUUGGGUCAUAAAACAAAUAGUUGCAAAUGAUCAUAGCCACUAGUUUGUUAUACCAUAUAUCAUGCACCUGGACAAAAGAAAGCUAGAGACAACAAAGACAAAGUUUCCAUUUUUUUUGGACAAGAAGUUGCAUAGGCGUGAGAAGAUAUAUAUAGACUUGUCUUACGUAAUUAAUUCUUAGUACAAGUGCUCAGUAUACCAGAUAGUCUCCCAUAUACAGUUGUACUACAAAUGCAGCUUGUAUCAUCAGAAAGUAAAAUAGAGUUGAGCUAGCACGCAAAGCUUAUUAGUUCAUUAUACAACAAAGAAAGUACAUACUAGCAGAGUUCAUAAUUUAUGCUAUAAUCUUGCAAAGAAAACAUCCCUCCAUAAGCUGCCCAUAUGCUACAAAACAAUGUAAUGGAUACUAAUUUUCUGAACGAAAAAGAACACUAACCUCCCACAUACAAAGUGCCUCAUUAAAUGAUAGCUCCCGACGAAAAAGUACCAAGAGCAUUGGAAAUGCAAAAUGUAGGCUCUCAGCACCUAUAUGCGACAGGUGAGUGAAGAUUUCCCUGUCAGUAAGUUCCAAAAUUUUCCACAAUGCUUCCAACUGUUUCAUCACCCGAAUUGGGCCUUCCAUUUGAAAAUUCUCACGCUGGAAGAUUGCAACAGCGUGUCAGAGGGAAAGAUAAUAAGAAAAUCCAGUCCAAGAUAUUUUCCAACAUAACUCAAGUACCAUUCUCCUUAAGAGCAUCUCGAAACACCAAAAUGCGUCAGCAUUAUCCUCAAAUAGAACAACAAAAGGAGACAGCAAGUCACUCAUUCCUGAAAUCAUAAUUUAUAAUACCGGACAUUGAAGCAAAUUAAAUUAGUAUAAAACAUGGAUAGGGAAACCGAUACAAAAUGAAAAACAAUUCACAACCUUGGCAAUAACCAGUCGCAGGAUCAACCCAUGCAUAAACUGCAAGGAUAUCUGACAUCCUAGCUAAGUUUCUCGUAUCCUCAUAGAACUCAAGAUGACUAUCCGUUCGAACCACAUCUACCACUGAUAAAAAAUAUGAGUCCAAAAAGUCAAGACUAUAAAGAAAAAUUAGACCUGUACAUCAAAAAUAGACACAAAUCUGCUUCUUUCUGAAAUUUACCUAUUCGGUGCAGGGUCCAAAGCCAUUCAGAUACUCUACCUUCAGUGGUACCACUAUUACGGUGGACAGUUGCAUUUAAGUGUUCGGUUUCUGGUGCAUUUGGCUUCACGUUAUUGCAUGAGCUAUUGUUCUGAAAUUCUGGAUCGCUGGAAUCAGCAUGUAUCAUUUCAAUUUCAGAGCUAAUGGGAUGAGAAACAUUGUUAGAGGAUGAGGCAGUUGAUUCAAUAACUAAAUCUUCAUUGUUAUUUAUCUGAAAACUGUGCAUGCUGCCAUCUUCAAAUCUCAAUUCACGUUGAGUUGAAAGUUUGGCAUUAUGCAGGUAAUAUUUGUUCUUAUCAGGGUUGUCCUUGUCAAACAAGUUGAUGACAGGUAGAGGGGGAAAAUCAUAAUCAUUUUCUGUAACAAUUGCCGAUCCCUCUGCUUCACUCUCAGGUUUUAGGGAAUAACAAUUGCAAGGACCAGAAAUGGGGACACAACAGGUGGACCCAUCUGCCGCACUAUCUGUACUUUCCCUAACACUCGCAAGUUCUGCUGAAUCAUUCGAGCUUUCCUUUUCACAUGUGUAUGAUUUAUCUAUACAAUUAUUAUUCCUACAAAAAGAAUCUUCUACUGUAUGAGUAUUAUGAAUGGAAACUUCUCUACUUUCAUUCUCAGCUUCCCUUGGUCCAUCUUUAGAUGACGUCCUCAUAUCCAUAACUUUAGAACCCACAGGGUAGGCUAGGGAACCAGUUCCUAUGCUAGAAUGUAUCAUCCGACACUCCUCGAUCAGGAACUUGUAACGUUCCCUGCAUGAAAAAACUUAACAGUCAUUUCAUUUGAUAGUGAACCAUGAACAAAAAUGGGACAAUAUUCUGUUCAGGAAUAAGAAAGGUAUGCAGCCGCUAGCAAACAAGAAACAAGAAGAUAACAAGAGAGAAGAAAGAACAGGAGAAAAAGAAGAAUCCUCCAUUAAGAACUUAUUGUGUAGGUCAUCUUUGCAAGUUAGAACUCUAUUCGGGAGUGAUUCGAACAUCAUUCAUUUCUAAGUUCCACUUGGUGCACUAAAUAUUUCUUAGCAACUAUUCAUUGGUUUAAAUAAGAAGCAGUUCCAUUGAUAUGAUUAUUUUUGGAUAAGAAACUGCACUUUUAUUGAGACAAAUGAAAGAAUAUACAAGGGCAUGCAAAAAAAACCAAUCUCCACAAAAAAGAAAGGGAUCCAAGAGUAACUAAAAUAAUGGACCCCAAUUCAAACAAAUAAGACUUAGACCUACAAUUGAAUUACAAAAAACAAAAAUUGUAUAGCCACGAGAGAAACAUAAAACCUAACAAGAGAUCAAAUUACCAAAAGGUUUAAGUAACCAACACCCGUAAAGUGACAUUAUAUCUAGCCACCUCCCAAAACAUCCUCACCUAGUCUCUGAACCUAUUUAAGAAUUCUAUUAUUCCCCUCUGGAUUCAAAUGCCUAGUGGACUCAAGACUCCAAAAGUAAAUAUCCCCUCAAACUCAUACCGAAAGUUAAGCCCCUCAAAUCUAAUAUAAGAGGGGCGUGACAUCUUCCAUUUCCCUAUCAAAUAAAGAUUGACGGAAAUCAAGUGAAAGAGAAGGAGAGGGAGGGCUCCACAAAAGACUCAAGAAAUCGGUUCCAAAACAAUAAAUGAUAUAGACGAGGAAAUCCCUCCUAUAUUAACUUCAACCAGAGAAGCAAAGCGAGAAGCUCUUUCAGAAUUUGAGUUUAAUUAAUUAAUAAAAAUUGAUUGACUAAGAUUUAAAAAAUAAUAAUUUAAAAAAAUCAUAUGAUCUCUCCCCUUUGGAGGGAUUAAAAACAUCUGUAAAACUGUGGAACAUACAAUAUCGGCUUCUGGCAAGGUAUGUGGUUAUCAAACUCACUGUGGCUGCUGAAUUUCCUAGUCUCUACUCAUGAUUCUUGAACACACGACUCCUGAACCACCUAACUAUGAUACCGUCUUAAAAAACCAAUUGUCUCAAAAGCUUAAGCUUAUGGGUGGAAGGCACAUUUAGUUAUAUAUUACUAACCCUCCUCCCACAUGUGGACUUGAAAUAUGCGAAAGACACUCAAGUGGAAAUGAAUAUUAACUGAGGAGGAAACAACAAUGUAAACAAUUAUAAUAACAAUAAAUAAAAGGGGUGGCAAUGGGUGGAGAGUUUUUUCCUUGUUGACAUAUAGAUAUCUGUAUCUACAAGCAUAUAUAAAGGACACAAAAGUAAAAUGCAGGCUUGACUACGUCUAAAAACAGAAAAAAAUAAUCAAAAAUAAUAAUCCAACGUGACAAAGGAGAACUUUUGUUCAAGGGAGGUAAAAAACCUUCUGGCAGUCCUUAGUUGGCCACGGUGCUCAGCAGUGCUACCUACAGCAUAACAACCAAGCAAAAAUUCCCAUACUUCUGCCCUAAUAGACGGAUCCACACCCUGCCAAACCACAAUUAAACUUCUCUGUUUUAUACACAGUACCACAAUGAAGCAUCGAUAAAACUAACUGUUUUUGUGAUCAAAUACAAAGAAAAAUGUAGUAUUUGUCUUUUCCUGCGUCUUCAACAUUUAAAAUCAAAGUUCUAUUUUUUUGUAACUAUUCUCUCACAAUUUUGUUGACUAGCUUACUAGCUGGAGACCAUGUACUCAUUUUUGUAACUUCAGUUAUUUGCUCAUUUUUUUUCUUGACAAAAUUAGCCUUUUCUCAAUAACAAAGUCUAUACAAAGAGCAAGUAACCAGUUACCAAAUUGAAGAGGAAACAACCAAACAUGUACUCGUGUAAAGCUAUUAGGUGUCAGGUGGCAAUGGGUUCACAUCCUUUUUAGAGGCUUGGCUUCCAAUCCUAUUCUUGACAAGGAUUCGAUUAAUGAAGUUUGGAGGUACCAAAUACCAAGAGAUGAGCUAGCAAUGAUAAAUAAGUUGCUCCUCAAAUCAUUCAAUAAAACGUGAUGGAGAUUGAAAACGCGAAACGAAGAUAACCAACACACCAAUGCAUACAGGCAAUGGAAAAAGAUAUGGUUUUUACUUUCAUGUCUUUAGGCUACAAAGCAUUAGAACCAUCAUGGGUUAGCCUAGUGGUAAAAGGGGAGACAGUCUCAGUAACUAACUAAGAGGUCAUGGGUUCAAUCCAUGGUGGCCACCUACCUAGAAAUUAAUUUCCUACGAGUUUCCUUGACAUCCAAAUGUUAUAGGGUCAGACGAGUUGUCCCGUGAGAUUAGUCGAGGUGUGCGUAAGCUGGCCCGGACACUCACGGAUAUUAAAAAAUAAAAAAAAUAAUAGAAAAGACUACAAAGCAUUAGUGUGGAGGAUUGCAUUGAAGAAAAUCAAUCAUAUUGAGAUGGUUAUUGUCUGCUUUCAAAUGUAAACAGAAUUCGUGAAUAAGUUGGAGAUGCUUAUUAGAUGUCUUUUUUUAUUCGAAAGAAACACCGGAAAUGAAGGUAACGAUGAUUUUGGUGGAUUGAAAAGUUUUCUCCCUCCCUACCCACUUCCAAAUGGAUGUAGGAACAUGGCCUUCCUUGCAAACAGGGAUUUGUGUUUAUUGAAUAAAAAGAACCACUAUGGAGAUGGAUAAUUGACUGGUAAAACCUAAAUAGCUCCCCUUCCCUAGGUCUCUAUUGGUCUUUUGGCUGUAGAUGGCACAUAAUGGAAGUCGGUAAAGGAGAUAAAACUCUUUUAUGGAAGGAGUAGAGGCUCUCAAGUGUCCAUGUUGUGUGGCAUAUACGAGGCUGUUUUCUUUUUCAAGGAUUUUUUUUUUUCAUUGAAAAGAUGAAAAGACUAAUGCUCAAUGUAAAGGAAACUAAACUAAAAUACCAAAAUGAUACAAAGAGAAGAAAAUGACCAAGCAUGGGAAAUAAAUUCAAUCAUAUCUGAAGAGGCUUGAACCUGAGUUGAAACAAAGCGAACAAAUCUAAGGAAGACACUAAUCCAGAAAAAUCUCCAAACACUAAGAGGCAUAACCAAGGCUGUUUGUAACUUUCAAAUCAAGGGGAGAUACAGUAAACUUUUAUUUUUUUUGUGAGAAUUUUCAAUUCCUAUAACUUGGAAAUCAAGUUUCUCUAAUCCAAAAUGCAGGUCUGUAUACAGCAACAGGGUGAAGAAGCCAUUGUAGUUUCUAGUACCCCCUUAUUACACCACACCAAGAAGAAUUUAAUUUAUGUAACCUAAAUAAACUUGAUUAAGCUUCCUACUCCCAUAUAAAAUGGCUUUUGAUAUGAAUAUAAUUCACAAGAGAAAUUAUAACAAUGCCUAUGAAAACACUCCUAAUGCCAAAAAUGAAUGGAAAAUGGAACUGCAUACAUGAUUUUGAAAUUUUGAAAUUUUAUAAGUAGAUUGAAGGACAAUAAGAUAGUAUGGAUAGCCCCAACAUGUUCCUGAUGGCGUGGUAUAGUUUCGACGUUUCCUGAACCGGCCGAUGGUAGAAGCUUCUCUAAGAGCCCUCGUAAACUUUCCAAUGAAAUAAAGACCAAUGACAAACGUCACUCAACUCUACGACCUAGAGACAGAUCUACAUGGAAGUAAUUAUCAUCUAAUCAAUAAUAAAUAUUUUUUAUAGAUAAUCAAUAAUAAAUACUAAUUGCUUAAUUUUUAAUUUUACAUAAAAAUUAAUUAAAUUUAGGGUAUUCACUUUUUUUAUAUCCGUGAGUGUCUGAGCUAGCUUAUGUGCACCUCGACUACUCUCACAGGAUGGUAUGUCUGACCCAACAGCAAUCGGGUGCCAAGAAAACUCAUAGGAAAUUAAUUCCUAGAUAUAGGCUAGCAUGACUUGAACUCGUGAUCUCUUAGUCAUUUAUUCAGACUUGACUCAUUUUUUAACACGAGGUCAACCUGUGAUGGUUAACUUAGUAUAUUCACAUAUAGAUAUAAUUAUAAUGUAUUCUCAUAAACAAGGAAGAAUUAGUCAAUGAAGAGACUUGUUUUUGUUUCAAAAAAUAAAUGCAUUGUCAAAUCCAGUUAAAAUAUUCUCAAGCAUCCUCUUAAAAAAAAUCCAAAUCACACAAUCAUCCAAGGGCAACAAGCAUCUAAUUCCCUAACAAUCUAAUGUUUGAGCAUCUAUAAAUUUCCUAGAAACAAAAAAAAAAAGAUUAUCUAUUCACCCUCCCCUUCAAGCUUCUAAAAGUUAAAUAUUAAUUUACAAUAAUAAUAAUUUUUUUUUUUUUACAAUUAUUAAAAAAACUCAUUGCAUUUUAUAGGAAGUUCAUUCCACUGCCUACCAUCAAUUAUAAAACGAAGAGAACUACCUCUGUUCUUCCAAAUUGGACCCAAACCCCCAAGAAAAACUAAACAGAAACUAAAACUUCAGGGUAAUUACAUAUUUUCUUAUAACAAACUUUAAGCUAAUUAAAACUUUCAAGGUUCCUCAGGUUUAAGCACUUGAACUUUUGGGUGCUCAAAUUUCUCCUAGUAUUUGGAGGCAUUUUGCAUCGAAGUCUAUGCUUUAUGAAAUCUAUAGGAGCUUUUUUGAAAAUUAAGCAUGCGUUAUACACCUUAAGAUCCAAAAGGGGGCAAUGAAAUUAUUAGACCAAAAAUUUUCCCAAAAAUUAAAUCUACAUUGCAAUUCUUCUUUUAACUUUUAUAAACUAUACUUGCUAAUUAUAUAGAUUUUUUGUAAGUCUUUUAGUGAUCCUUUUAACUUCAUGUCAAUGAAAUUCGGACAAAGCUAGCCAAUAAAAAAAAACAUGACUCAUAUUGUCAACUCCUGUUGUAUUUCUUUCACUUGGUUUAUUUUUCAACAUCAUAUGUAAUUAAUGCCAAUUUGUCAUUCUCUUCUCAUUAAAUUUAAACAAUUAAUAGUUGAUACAUUGAUACAUCACAAGCAAUGCAUAAUCACAAAAUCAAGGGGAAAAAAGGUCGAUGCUGCCUGGAACUACAUUUAGUGGCAAGUUCGAUGUUGAGACCUUUUUUUUCUUUUUGAUAAGAAACAAACAUUUCAUUGAUGAUGUUGAGACCUUCUUGGAUUGGCCCAGAGAAGUAGAAUUGUUCUUUGACUGACUGUCCAAAGAUAAGAUUUAAAAAGCUGAAGGAGAGCCUCCACAUGGCGAGAUCAAUUGCAAAUCAAUAGAAGGGGGCAUGAAGAGGCAUUCAGCAUUAUUUAGUGAAGCGUUUUACAUUUGGAGCAUUAGUCUUUUUCAUUUCUCCAAUGAAAUUUUUCUUUUUCUAAAAAAUUCCAAUGAAAUUUUCCUGUUCCUUCUUUCCGAAAAAGAAAAGGAAAGGAAAGAGAGAGAGAGAGAAUGGAUUUUUUUAAAAUAAAUAAAUAAACUUCUUGGUCAAAGAGGUUGAAACUAAUGUAAAGUUGGUUUCACCCUGUGAACAAUAAGUAAUUGCUCCAUGAUCAAUACCAACAUUGAGCUCACGAAACUUGUUCCAUGGCUGAUUACUGCUCCAAGAUGUUCCAUAAGCUAAGUGCACAUUACAAUUUAGCCGAGUUCAAGCAACAUGACAUCGCCCAUCUCGUGGAUGGGAAGAUAUCAAGAAAAAUGUAACUUUACAGCCCUUAUAUUAUCUUAUAGAAGUUGAAGUCUGUAGCUAUGGUGAGGAAAGUGGAGGACAGUCAAGCAUCCUCAAACCAAUGGCGAACACGAGUGACCAAAUAAACACUUGGUAAUUUAAUUUGAUGUCUUUGUGGGAACAAUGCCAAUGAAACCUUGCACUACCUUAAGCUGAGUUUUCCUAUAAUCAUAUGUGCAAUAGGUUACAAAGUCACCAUUUGAAUUAGUUUGUCUAUAUCCUAAGAUUCCUUGCUUAACUGUGGACCUUGCUACAUUACCUUCUACUUCAGAUGUUCAUUAGGAUUGUCACCCUCAAUCCUUUAACGUUUGGGAUCUUGUGAUGGUUCAUAUAAGGAAGCCUAGACUGCCUUCUGAGUGUUCAUGCAAGCUACAUCCAAAGAAAAUUGGGCCUUUUCCUGUUGUUGAACGUUCAACGCCUACAAGGUUGCCCCCACACUUCAAAAUCACUCCGCCUUCAUUUGAUCAACGAAAUGUUUCAUUUAAAAAAGAAAAAGAGUUACCAUGCCACAGAUGGUUUUCAUUUGGCUGCUUAAUCAACUCGAGAAUGAGUUAGCUUUAGGAGGGAAUUGAUGUAGCGUACUUCCUCUCUACCUCUCUUAGUUGUUUGCCCAUUUACUGAGGGCUUAAUCGUGGCUUUAGUCUUCUUGUAUUGUUGCAUUUAAAGUUAGUUUUUUGCUGCUGUUAACAGCCAAGUUAUCGGUUAGUUACUGUUAGUUCUUUUACCAAUGCUGUAACAUUUUAGUCUUUUAGUUUUACUGCUGACAUUGGCUUAGUUACUGUUGCCAAUGACACCAAGACUGGUCUGUAGCAGGUCCCUAGGUUGGUUGUAAUUGAAGUAUUAGACAACAAAGAUUUUUAUUCAAUAAUUCUAAAAUAUUUGAGUUACAUUAACGGAAGUUUAAGAAAAGGGGAAAACCUAAGAAAUAACUUUUUAAGAUAGAAUCUCGACAAUUUUUCAUGGUAAGACAACACAUACCCCCAAAACUAUUGAUUUGAGUGUCUUCUGAAAACCAAGAGCUUUUCCAUCACUAUCAAAUGCUGCCAGCCACUUCUCUGGCUUGAGCAUUCUGUUUACCUGCACCAUGAGAACAGCACUCCAAAUUUUGCAUGAACGCUAAUAAAUAAAAUAUCAUUGUCAUUCAAACUGCAUUAAAAAUCAUGCAGAAAAGAUAUUGUCAUUGUAACUAAAUAUCUAAACAAAUUUUUGUUUUCUAUAUGAAACAAAUAACGACCAAAAGAAAGGAAACAAUUUCAAAAAAAAUAAUAUUCAGAAUAUUUUAGAUUAUUACUUAUUUUAGUUCAAGUACAAAGUAUCACUGUGCAGAGUACAAGUAUGAAUAAAGUGUUCGGUCCCCAAUAGUGAAUACUUUUUUUUAAAUGGAAACAAGUCUCUUCAUUGAAAUGAUGAACUGAGACUAUUGCUCAAAGUACAAAACUUAGAUACAAGAGAUGAUUACCAAAAUCAGCAAAUAAAGAUCAAGAGAUGCACCCAAGCAUCUCAACUAGGUUGACACCCUAACAGCACCCCAUCAUAAUACAUCAAACAAGGGAAUUGGCCAAGGGAGGCAACCCUACGAUUAGAGGCACGGUGAAGUUUGUUAGUAAUGUUUUCCUUAGUUUCUCAGUAAUAUGGCAAUAUUUUGCCACCGCGUCUAGUUGUUUGGCAAUAUGAUUGUUAGUUAGGAAGUUUUCUUACAAAUCAAGGAAUGCCUGGAAGAAUGGAAAAACCUAGAACCACCUAAUUAGAUGGAUGGGGGAGAAUCAUCUCAUAAGAAAGAGGAAGGGCAACAUGAUGUUGGCCUUUAAUGGAACAGGUCCUAAUGAAUGGUUAUUUAGAGUUAAGCAAUACAUUUAAUUGUAUUGAAAGCAAUAAAACACGAAAAAACAACUUAGGUGGAAACCCAAGUACAAGGAGAAAAACCAUGAUAUUUUUGUUAUUAUUAUUUUCUGAUGAUUUACAAUAGGUACAAUGAAUGAGAAUAAAUAGAAUACACAAUGUGGUAAAAAAGGAAAAAAAUUAGGGAUUAGGGUAAAUCUUUCCUUAAACACCCUAUGGGCCAAGCCCACUAACUCUAACACUCCCCUCGAGUUGAGACGUAAAUAUCAAUGAGGCCCAACUUGCUAACACAAAAGUCGAAGUUUGGUCUGAGAAACCCCUUGGUGAGAACAUUAGCAACCUGUUGGCUCGAAGGGAUGUAUAGAAUGCAUACGCUCCCACUGUCAGGUCUUUCUUUGAUGAAAUGUCGAUCAAUCUCAACAUGUUGAGUUCUAUCAUGUUGAACUGAUUUGUUGGCAAUACUAAUAGCGGCUUUAUUAUCACAAAAAAGCUUCAUUGGUGUUUCACACUCUUGAUGAAGAUCAAACAUGACUUUCUGGAGCCAAAUUUCCUCACAUAUUCUCAAACUCAUAGCUCAGUAUUCGGUGUCAGCGCUGCUCCUGGCCACAACAAUUUGCUUCUUACUUCUCCAAGUUACAAGAUUGCCCCAUGCAAAGGUACAAUAACCGAAGGUAGACUUUCUGUCAACAAAAGAUUUUGCUCAAUCUAAGUUAGUAUAUGCCUCAAUGGUCUUUCUGUCUGUCUUUCUAAACAUUAACCAUUUACCAUGUGUCGUUUUCAAGUAUCUCAAAAUUUUGUUGAUAGCUUCCAUGUGUUCCUCAUAAGGAGUCUGCAUAAACUAGCUGACAACACUCACAGCAAAUGAAAUAUCAGGACGAGUAUGGGAUAAGUAAAUCAAUUUACCCACAAGGUGUUGAUACUGUUCUUUAUGUACUGGAACUAGAUUAUUAGAGUUUCCUAGUUUACAGUUGAAUUCAAUAGAAGUGUCAGCAGGAUAACAUCCAAACAUACCUGUCUCGAUCAGCAAAUCAAUGGUGUAUUUUCUCUGAGACACAGAGAUGCCUU